Molecule: long non-coding RNA, 64999 nt
Filed under: Sorghum bicolor (sorghum)
Lineage: Eukaryota; Viridiplantae; Streptophyta; Magnoliopsida; Poales; Poaceae
Description: long non-coding RNA (SBIC_LNC009382)
Rfam family: MIR5565 microRNA precursor family (bases 62374-62482)
Source: RNAcentral
AUAACAGUUUGUCUCAUGUUGCAAUACAACGAACCGGCGAGCAGUUCAUCACAUCACUCUACCGGCCGGCUUGCUGCUGUGUCGCAGGCAGAAGGAAUUGAGCCUGUCAAGGCCGUCUUCGAGAGAAGACGGAUCAAUUGCAAAGGUGAUCCGGAGCCAAUCCUUGCAUCCCACAACACGUCCUGACAACAAUUUGUUUCCAACAUGUUACAUUACAGUACGUCUCAAACACAAAAAGGUGAUCUCGAUCUCAAGGUGGCUGCAAAAAAUGUCUACUAAACAUAUUGAUGAACUGAUGUGUAUUAGUUCUACAACUAUAGUUUCAAAAGAAUCAUGUAUGUAUAUGUUCAGGAGAACAAUAAAGCACCUGGCAGAACAACAACUGAUUCCUCCUUUGCCAGCCGGCAGCAGAAGUCCAUGUCAUCUUUGAUGUCCUGCAGGCAGGACAGAUCUAGCUUCACCUGUAGCAGGUCAUGGCAAUUUCACACCAGCCUGUUAGUGUUAGCGAAUCACUCAUGAUGUGUUUUGCUUCUGCAACAUGGAAGAGUACUAUAUAUGUACUGAAUCAUCACACACCAUUACAAACAUGGAUCCCAUUGGUUUGCUUGGGCAUGUGACUCCGUUGAUGUCCUUCAACUUCUCCCAGCAUAGAUCUGCACUUUCUUUGAGAAUUUUGAUGGUUUGUUGGAAGAAUUCCUCCUUGGAGUUCUCCAGGAGGUUCGGAACUGCUGCCUAAACAACAGAAUUUUGUGAUGUGAUUUAAGUCGAUGCAAACCAUUAAAUUUCCUACGCACAGUUUCAAGGCUUGCAAGAAACUGGCAAUGCAGUUAUAGUCACCUGAACAAAUGUUGUAGGAUCAGAGCAGAUAUAAUGGUAGGUCCUGAUGCUAGCGGCUACCUGAAAGAACAAAAAACAUGUGUAAGCAUUGUGCGACUGCAUUUUGCGCUCUACUUUCAUUUAAUUCCAAAAUCUGAAGAAUAGCUUCACUAUUAAAUCAGGUAUGUGCACAUUCCGUUAAAUGAAAUAUGAAAAAAAAAACUUCCCAAUACUGACUAUCACAAAACCGAUGUUCAAGCAUGAGAAGUAGUAAAUUGAGAACCUUGGUUCUCUGAAAUACACCAUUAGGAUCAUUGGUAACAAUCCAUCCCAGCCGCCAACCGGGCACCAGCCAUCUCUUUGAUAAUGACCCCAGUGUGAGCACUGGAGCCACAGCCCCAAACACACCCAUCGGCACAAAUUUCCUCUCUCCAAAUGUCAAGUGUGCGUAAGCCUCAUCUGCUAUUACAAAUAUGCCAAGCUUCCGUGCUGUCUCGGCAACCUACAAAAUCAUGGACACAAAUAGGCAUUCAGACUAUCCCCCAGAGCAGUCAACUAAGGCAGAACCGGAAGUAGCUUAUAUUAGAACUUGCCUUGGCCAGGUGCUCAUAGGAGUACACAUUGCCACAUGGGUUUCCUGGGUUGAUGAGGACAAUGGCAACAGUAUUCUUGUCAGCAAGAGCUUGGACGCAAUCAGUGUCAACCUCCCAGUCUUUCUCAGGUAGAAGAUCGAAGUACCGGGCUUCCAUUCCGUUGAAAACAGCGCGCGCCUCAUAAAACUUGUAGCCAGGUCUUGGGAGCAAGAUAUUGGCACCAGGACGAGCUAACACAGAGCAGAUUAUCUCAAUUGCUUGAACACAGCCGUUUGUGAGGUAGACAUCAUCGAGUGACAAUUCAUAUGGCAAAUCACGGGAUAAGUACUGCGCAAUGGACCUGAAAUUUGUGGUUUUAAACCACCAUAAGAUAACUAUGUUUAAAGUUGUGAAGAACAUAGAUGUAUAAUGGAAUCUGUAGUAAUUGAAAACAAAUUAGACUGUAUUUUGUGCUGCAAGAAAUAGCCAUUAAUGUCUGCUGGGUGAAAAUUUCAGUCUCCAAGCUCUCUUAGGUAUUGUGAGAAAUUUAAGGUGCAGGAUUCCAGUUAUUGUUUCUUAUGACCAUGAACCCGUUACAGUCCUAGGACUGAUGGGGAUAACAAGAAAAAAACCAUCGGGGAAACAUGAAACAAAAAUGUCAUGACUGAUCACAACCUAAGGAAGUGAAUCUUAUAGUAGGAACAUGAACCAAGGUGGAUAGCAAUGCAUUGUUGAUAUUAGUGGCUAUCACAGCAAGUUGAAGAAGACAAUAUUGGCAGGCGUAAGGUUUAUUGAUUCCCAGGCAGAGCAUAUAUAUACACUGCGUUAACUAGAACUGGUUGUUAAAAUCAUGUUGACUUCAGAAAUAUGAUGGGGAAAUCAAAGGGCCUUUCCACACACCUGGGAUAAUCCAGAUGCUAAAAAAUCCGAAAAAUCUGAUAUUAAUAUUCGUUUUAAUGUCAAUAUGGAUGUCUAUAUUUGUAUCUCAUUCAAGUAUGAAUACUACACAGAUGUAUUCAGAUUCCGGAUUCGUUUUUUAUGACUUUCCUCUAUCCGUUUUCAUAUCCAUAUUCAAAAAAAAGUAACAUUUUCCGUACUUAAGAAGAACAAAGUGCUCGGUAAUGCUGUUCGUAACUAUGAAGAACAUUAUACAUAGCUAUAAAUAACAAUGUCCGUGUCCAAUGUGAAAUAUAUCUAUGACUAAUUAACAAUUUAAAUGAUACUAAUUUUAAUAUUACAAAUGAUAUGCAUGAUUCAUCAAACUAUUUAAAAGCUAUCCUUUUGAUACAAUGCCAUUAUAUUAAAAUGAAGUAAAUAAUGCUAUCCGAAUCCAAAUCCAACCCUACCCACACAAGUCCAAUCCACAAAAUGUCCUUAUUUUAGCAUCUAGCAGUCCUAUUUGCAUCUAGAAAAAAUAGAGAUAGAAGGCCAAGAAGUCAGUCACCUCACCUCCGUGCUGGCUCAAGGCCGACGCAAGUGGAGUAGGAGUUGUACUCGCCGGACUGGAGCGCGCCGGCGACGGCGUCCACGGCCUCCGGCGACGUCCGGAAGCACGGGAACGCCGACGGGUCGCCGUGGCCCAUCGGGAUCACCGGCCGCCCGCCGCCGCCGCCGCCUGCGGCACCCAUCUCGGCCUUGAUCUUGGCUAGCACGCCGCGCACCGAGAUCGACGCCAGGCCCAGGAGGGUCUCGUUCGGCACGAAGUUCCACGAGUCCGGGACAGCCGCCACCUCCCCAUUGCUGGCCCUGGCGCUGUUCUCCAUCGGGGAAUGGCGAUUGCUCAGGCGCCCGCGCGCAAGGUUUGGCUUUGUUGGCGGACUGGCCACUUCGAGCUAAGCAGAGUGUGGCGGAGGAAGAAGAUGGGAAACAGAGGAACCAAGUUUUUUUUAAAAAAAAAAAAACAGAGGAACCAAGUUGGGGAGGAGGAAGAACCGAAGAAGAACACGUGAACAGAGUAACAAGAUGGGGAUUCAGAGAUCUCUCUACAAAUGGUUACGUGUCCUCUUCUUUUGUCCUUUUCUUUUCUUUAUUUAUUAUUCAGGAUAUUCUCCUUAUCCCCUAGGCCUUGUUUAGGUCUUGUUUAGUUUCCAAAUUUUUCAAGAUUUUCCGUCACAUCGAAUCUUGCGGCACAUGCAUGAAGCAUUAAAUAUAGACGAAAACAAAAACUAAUUACGUAGUUUACCUAUAAAUCGCGAGACGAAUCUUUUGAUCCUAGUUAGUCUAUGAUUGGAUAAUAUUUGCCACAAACAAACGAAAGUGCUACAGUAGCUAAAUCCAAAAUUUUUCCCAAACUAAACAAGGCCUAGUUCAUCCCGAAAACCAAAAUCUUUUCAAGAUUCUCCGUCACAUCAAAUCUUGGAGCACAUGCAUGAAGCAUUAGAUAUAGACGAAAAUAAAAACUAAUUACACAGUUUGCCUGUAAAUCACGAGAUGAAUCUUUUGAGCCUAGUUAGUCCAUGAUUGGAUAAUAUUUGUCAAAUAAAAACGAAAAUGCUACAGUGCCGAAAUCCGAAUUUUUUUCGGAACUAAACAAGGUCUUAUCUUACAUUGCUAUUCAGAACCCCAAUCCAUAUUCCAAGGGGCUGUUUGCCAGGUCCACCUGGAUCAGCUCAACCAAUAAAAUAAGGUCUUGUUUAGUUCACUCUAAAAACCAAAAAGUUCUCAAGAUUCCCCGUCACAUCGAAUCUUGUGGCACAUGCAUGAAAAAUUAAAUAUAGACGAAAACAAAAACUAAUUACACAGUUUAGCUGUAAAUCACGAGACAAAUCUUUUGAUCCUAGUUAGUCCAUAAUUGGAUAAUAUUUGUCACAAACAAACGAAAGUACUACAGUACCGAAAACUUUUCACUUUUCGAAACUAAACAAGGCCUAAUAAUAAUUUUUUUUCAUAUAAACUUGGAUUAAGACAAAUUUUAUUUUAAAAUUGUAGCAUUUGACAUGAUCUACAUCUUUGUAGUUAGCGAGUAGACGCUAGACCAACCGGCUAGCUAGACUGCGUCACAUCCUUGCAACCUACUCCCUCCGGCCAGCUUUCUUAGGGCCUGUUUAGAUUGGGAAUGAAAAUUUUUUGGGUGUCACAUCGGAUGUGUCGGAAGGAUGUCGGGAGGGGUUUUUAGAAACUAAUAAAAAAACAAAUUACAUAGCUCGUCAGAAAACUGCAAGACAAAUUUAUUAAGCAUAAUUAAUCUGUCAUUAGCAUAUGUGGGUUACUGUAGCACUUAAGGCUAAUCAUGGAGUAACUAGGCUUAAAAGAUUCGUCUCGCGAUUCUUAACUAAACUGUGUAAUUAGUUUAUUUUUUUAUCUACAUUUAAUGUUCUAUGCAUGUGUCCAAAGAUUCGAUGAGAUGGAUGAAAAAAUUUUGGAUAGGGAACUAUUUCGUCAUUUUUCAGUUAGAGCAGGUACAAUAAUGGGCUUAUAGCCAAGCUAAUGCUGAUGUGGAGGAGAGAAGAGAGGAGAGAGAUGAUAGCUUGGCUCUUAGUUAAGCACCAAGCUGGGCACGGAUGCAUAGGUAGUAAUGGGCCCAAAAAGCAAAUGUUGUGAGAAGAAAGAAAAAAGAGAAUGUGUUUUAGAGACAAGUAGGAGACAACUUAUUAUAUAACUUGGCUCUAAUUAUUUGGCUUAUAGCCAAGCACUUGGCUCUAUUAGGCCAGUCUCAAUGCAUGUUUCAUGAGAGUGUCAUGCACAUUAAAUAUGGCGCCACAUAAGCAAAAUUGCUGACUUGGCAGAGUCAUUAAAUGAAGGAGUUUCAUCAGAUGAGAGAGGAGUUUCAUCCCCAUGAAACUCUUGUGGCUCGGUUACCUAGUUUAUAGUUUUAGUAGCUGUGUCAUGAAACUAUACAUUGGGACUAGCCUUAUUGACCUUGCUCUUAGGCAGCUAUCUUGGGCGCCGGUAGCAGGAACGAGGCAACGAUGCUUUGGAAAUCCUACUGCAUUCAAUAUGGGUGCCGUUGGGCGUGCAUGCUGGCCGAGAAUCGAAGAGUUUUCAUGCAUGUAUAGGUCCUUUAAGUAUAAAUUUGCGGCACCAGUGCUUAUCACUUCGUAUUCCCCUGCAUGGCUUCAUGCAUGAAUUAAAUGAAAGAGUAUCCGACUCUAUAGCAGCCGUAUUGAGCCAACAUCAUUUAAUCUCCUCCUUGGUAUGUGAGAUUUGCUUGUGUACACCUAAGAAAGCUGUCCGGAGGGAGUAGGUUCAAGGGCCAUAGGGUGUGUUUCGCCGGGCGGACGCGAAAAAAAUCUCCUUGCUCCAUUCAAUGCAUAGGUUUAAAGCUAGUUCAAACUUAAGGCCUGUUUAGAUUGAGAACGAAAAUUUUUUAGAUGUCACAUUGGAUGUGUCGGAAGGAUGUCGGGAGGGGUUUUUAGAAACUAAUAAAAAACAAAUUACAUAGCUCGUCAGGAAACUGCAAGACAAAUUUAUUAAGCAUAAUUAAUCUGUAAUUAGCAUAUGUGGGUUACUGUAGCACUUAAGGCUAAUCAUGGAGUAACUAGGUUUAAAAGAUUCGUCUCGCGAUUCUUAACUAAACUGUAUAAUUACUUUAUUUUUUUAUCUACAUUUAAUGUUCCAUGCAUGUGUCCAAAGAUUCGAUGAGAUGGAUGAAAAAAUUUUGGGUAGGGAAAGUUCUGAAAAAAUUUCGGAUUUCGCUACUGUAGCAUUUUCGUUUUUAUUUGACAAAUAUUGUCCAAUCAUGAACUAACUAGGAUCAAAAGAUUCGUCUCGUGAUUUACAGACAAACUGUGUAAUUAGUUUUUGUUUUCGUCUAUAUUUAAUGCUUCGUGCAUGUGCUGCAAGAUUGGAUGUGACGGAGAAUCUUGAAAACUUUUUGGAUUUCGGGGUGAACUAAACAAGACCUAUAGGAGCAAUGGUGCCACUAUAUAUGAGUGGUGCUCGGUAUCCGAGGAUUUUUUUAUCUCUGUGAUGUCUUUUUCUCCAACACAAUGUCCGGUAUACUCGUGCUCCUGUGGAUUGAUUUUUUUUACAUCUUUGUAGUUAAAUGGUGUUUGAAAUGAAAUUGUUUAGGGUCGUAAAAUAUUAUUGUAAAUUUAUAAAUUUAAAAUUAUUAAGCAAUCCCAGACAUCGACAUGGUCUAAAAGAGAGUUACAGUUCUUAAUAGAAUCUAUAAUUUACAUCUUAAUCAAUUGCAGACGCAAAUAAUAUUGUAUAAGUUUAGAGAUUUAAAAUUUAAUUUAAAAUUAUUAAAUAAUCUCAGACAUCGUCUAAAAGAGAGUUACGGUUCUUGAUAGAAAUCUACAAUUUCGUAAUAACACAAUUGUGGACCGGUCUCACGGUACGGUGCGUUCCAUUCGCACGAUAAUGUUGGACACAGUAAACAAUUAACUCCACCAUCGAUCCUAGUAGUAGCCAGGCUAGUUCUAAAAAAUUUUACAAAAAAUUUCAGCAAAUCUUACGGUGUGUAUAUAAAGUAUUAAUAACUAAUUAUAUAGUUUAUUUUUAAUUUAUAAGACGAAUUUUUUGAGCCUAGUUAGUUUAUAAUUGGACAAUAUUUAUCAAAUACAAACGAAAAUGCUACGGUCUAUUUUGUAAAAAAAAUUAGAACUAAAUAAGGCCCAGUAAAAUACUCCACGCAACGCAACGCGCAGGGUGGGGUAGGUGAAUCUUUUUUUUGACAAUUGUGGGGUAGGUGAAUCGAUCGGUGAAACGCAACAAAAGGCCGAUCCAGGCCCCGCAGGAUCUCCCUCCAUCUGCCGUCCGUCUCUCGCGGUGCUCCUGCAUGCGGUCUAAUUUGGAUGGGGCCGCACCUGCAGCGAGCCAACUGGCAUGCAUGCAGCACGAGUGCUUUGCUUACGGCAUAUUUGGAUGAGUUUCAUAUUUUUAAAAUACUAGGUAGCGUGCCCGUGCGUUGCUACGGGAUAGCUAACAUUUUUUAUUAAAAAUACACGUAUUGCACAAUAAGAUGAUAAUAUUAUAAUAAAAUUUAAAUAGCAGCUAUAAAGUUAUAUUUAACUUAAAGAAACAAAGUUUCUUAAAUCAAACAUAGUCACGGAGAGCACGACGCUACAGCCUCACAAAUUCUACUUUAUAGACCUUUCUUUGAUACGACCAAGAUAAUAUUUAAUAUCGACAAGAAGAAAUCUUCGAUAUCCAUUUCUUUCAUGCGCUAGUAAAUCCACAAAUAAGUUCCGCCGCAUCUCCAUACCAUCAUGUCACACAUUUGAGUAUAUAUAUAUAUAAAUUUAGUGUGUGUCGCAUGGAUAAUACUACAUUUUUAUGAAAAAACUUUUAUAAAAACUGAGAUAAAGUAUUAUACUCACGGUAUAAAUAUGUGUGGCUUGUGGUCUAUUCCAUGUAGACAUGUAGACAUAUACUGUAGGAUGAGAAAUCCACUUAAGUACCUGUAUCAAGAUUCACGAUCAGCAAUAUAUAGAAAUAGUUAAAUCAUAGGUAUUUGUUAUUGUAAGCGACAAUGAUUUUGAGUUAUUUACCCAUCUAUGUCCUCUGCAAUGUUUUCUGUCCGUUUAAAUUUCCAUUUGAAAACAUCCUCAUAGAUUAAACAUGGAAAGAUAAGCUAGAAAUCAAGAGCUACGAAAAUAUAAGCAUAGCAAGUUUGUGUCUCACAAUACAUAUUUUACAAUAUAUUCUACAAUUAAGAAUCUCAUCUCUCAAUAAUGUGAUCACGAAAAUGUGCUUUGCGACCAAGCUAGAAAGACCAAAGAUUUAUGCAUCGUUCCCCACAAGACAAAAACCUUUAUCUUGAAAUUUAAAAAAUCUAUUCAUGUUGGAAAUUAAAGUUAUUUUUUCACCAUACAGAAUUAUUUUACCCCUAUUUAUACGAUUUAAGUAUACAUAAACAAAAUGUCUAUUUUUAUUUAAACUCUAUGUUUGACCAGAAAACAUAUUUCUGAUUUUGUAAUUUUUUUUCCUUAAUAUCCACUUGCCCUAUCUUUCUCACUACUCUCUCUCUCGAUGUCUCCAAAAGAAAACGCACGCACGGGAGCCCAACAGUCUUCUCUUCUCACUACUCUCUCUCUCUGCAAAAGUCACAACGCAGGCUGUUCUUCUUCCUCCUCGGCGGGUGCUCAACGCCCCAGCCCCCAGGGACCCGACGGAGCUGCCUCGACGAGCUCUCCAACGCGGAUCUGCCGACCCGACAUCCCUCCGCCGACCCUCGGCCUGUCCGCUCUCAAGAACUCCGGCGCCGCGGACGGACGCGGCUCCAGCGAGCUCUACUCGGGCGCGACCGAACGGUGGAAGUUCCUCUUCAUCUUCUUGCCGCUGCCGCAGCCGCGAUGCCGACGGUGAGCAUCGGCCGGGACCGUCUCUUCGCCGAUCUAGGUCGAACCUACAGUAAGUUUGACUUCCUCAGUUCAUCCCCCAAAUCCCAGCUUCCCCCAAAUCCCAGCUCUCCCCCAUCUGCCACAGACAUACCCAGCCCGGAGCUAUUGUUCUUCCUCCUCAGGGUCACCUUCGCGUGCUGAGUUGGGGUGGGUGCGGUGCUCGAAUCGUGUGCAGGCGGGAGGUGUGGGGUUCGAGGGCGACCGAUUGCCCGUUUUGCUUGUCCGGUUAGAUGGCUCCAGAUUAUUUUUGUUUGGUGUUAGUGUUUGGGUUAUGAUUGCUAGUGAAUUUGGUGAAUGAUGUCUUUCGGAUGUACUUGUGGUGGACAGUAGGGUUUGCGUAUUGCAAAAUGUUGAUAUGCUUGCUUCUACCUUUAAUUCUUUUUCUCAUGUGCAAUUGGUUGCACACUUGAUAUGGUAUAUACGCCUCCUGAUUCUGUCGGGAUGCCCAUUUCGACAUGUGAAUGAAUCGAAUCCUAUAAUUGUGUCUGCUAAAUUGAAAUGAAUGAAUCCUACAAUUGUGACUGCUAAAUUGAAACGAAUGCUCAAGCAUUCUGGGUUCAGCAAAGUCACUGAAUGAUUACAGUUUACAAGUCACAUUCAUGUCUAGAGGAGUUGUAGGAGUGUUAGAAGAGAAUUAAUACGUUUGAUCACUGAAUUUUAGUUUGCAUCCAAUCACUUUUGUCAUGCCUUAGUUGACUCUUCCGUAGCAUGAUUGUCCUGGACCUACAUCUGGUAUCCUGCUAUGGGGAAGGAAUAUGUCCUGGUUUAUUUGUUCAUUUACUCAACAAUUGCUACAAGAAGUUUCAGAAUUGUUAAAUGAUUAUAUGCCUAAAUGUGUACAGAUUGAUGAGCUCUUGGAUGACUAUAUUCCAAUCCUGAUUCAGUGAAUCAGUGAUGAUUGCCACUUUAUGUUUAUUAUAGGCUACCGUUCUUGGCAGCACUGUGAUUUUUUUGGUUCCAUCUUUGCUGUAUUCUUUAAUGCUAAGUCACGUGGCAGCCAUUCCAGUUUUUCCUUGGCCUAUGCUGUCACUGCAGAAAUCGUUGCUCACUACUUUGAUCAUACUCAAUGAAACUAAGCAUUGAAAGUCUGGUUAAAAAAAUAUGAUAGUGUUAAAUAUAGUUAUGAAAAGGUCUGGAACAACUCUUAAUUGCUGGAAAUUCUUUUGUUUCCUUGUUUAAGGUGUACUCGCAAACAGGUCAUGUAAAUAACUGCAGAUGAGGCAAAAGUCUGAACUGUUCUAAAUGUGUUGUCAUGAAUCACUUUCAGGUUCUCUUUCGUGAUCACAGUUUAGUAAUUUAAUGUCUUGUUUAUUUUUGUUUCAUCAUUUGAAGAUCUUGGGAGUUGAGAAGACUGCUUCACAACAAGAAAUAAAGAAGGCACAAAUUGGCGUUGCGCCUCCUCCCAGAUAAGAAUCCUGGGGAUGAGGUAGGAUCUCAACCUAAAGCAUUAAUGUUUUUCUACAUUCAUUUAGUGCAAUGUAUCUCAAAUGUUAUGUGCUGCCAGGAAGCCAAUGAGAAGUUUCAGCAGCUGCAGAAGGUUAUAUCCAUUCUUGGUGAUGCAGAGAAAAGAGCUUUAUAUGAUGAGAUUGGCAUCACUGAUGAUGACGUGCGCACCUUAUUUAUAGCACUCCAGUUCUACCUUUCAGAUUCAAGCAAUAUUUUUCUGAAUCCUUCUUUUUCAUCUUAGGCACUGGUGGGAGCAGCUGCAGACAAUCUUCAGGAGUACUUCAGAACAAUGUACAAGAAGGUAUGUUUGCUUCUCUGUCAAUUGCAGGCUAAUGUUGUCUAUUAAUUUACAAUGAUAUUUUUUUAUAUUGGAGUAUGGUAGCAAAAUAAAACAGUGGAUUAAGGGAUAGUAGUUGCUACAAUGAUAUUUCCUAACAAAGUAAGAUUUCCCUUUUUAACUGUGUCAAGAUUUAUGGAUCCUUUGGUGAUGUUACUCCCCUUUUUGGCUGUGGAACACAGUUUGGAGGUGUUGUGGACUUGUGGUUGGUUCGUGUUUCAUCUACUGCCCAAUUUUUGCGGCAUAUGCCAGCAGAGGCUUCAUGUGUUCUUUGAUCUUCUUCUUCCAGUUUGCCAUUCGUUGUAUAGAUCAGAAUUGGGUCCCAUUGCAGUGGAAAUAGAGCUGGCUCUGCAUACUAAAUUGUCACGUGCUUAGUGUGGGGGGAGGGUUCAGCUAGGGCUGAGACGUAACCGUGUGGGCGAGAUACAUAAGAGGCGUCUGCUAGGUGCGGCCACUGGGAGAAGGGGGCUUGGGGACAUGAGAAGGCUGAGGGGUAUUACCCAAACUCAGCUUAACCUUUGAUUAUUCUCUCUGUAUUUGUAGGGGCAACAAAAUUGACUCCUUGAUUCUUUAUAUAUAGGAUCCAUUCUAAUUACAACUCAAUCUGUCAAACCUAAACUUUACGACGCUGGGCCUGAGUGGUUCCACCCUUUUAUUUCAACCAGUAACCUUGGAUUUUUUUCCCCUUUUUGCGGGAAUAUAUUUUAGUGGCCAUGACAUACUUUAAGGUUUACUUGUGAUGAUCUUAUUAACGGCCAGGCAUGAAAUGAUUAUUUCUUUAUGUUGACGUUAAUUACUUCCUGGCAAAUCUUGCAAAUGAGAGGUCAAAUAUAUGAUAAGCUUUUCUGAUAUGCUUGGUGAUCUCUAGGUUUUCUAGGAAGUUUGCUUCUCUCAUGGUCUUUUUCUUUACCAUGCAGGCUUAUAGAGUAUUUUGCCUUUUGUAGGUCAGUUUGAGUGCAUUUGCAUUCUUGUUCUCUGAGUUGGUUCAGUACAACCAGACUCAAGUUGACAACAUUACUGAGCUGGAACGGAGGUAUCUCUAUUGUGUAUUUGUACCUGUCUGAUCUUGUUUGAUGAAUUUGUAUUUAGGUUGAUUGAUUAUUAUUCUAUCAUGUGUCUUCGUUUACCUUAUUGCACAUGCUACUAACUUAUACCCAGAUCAGAUAUACUCUUUCAGUAAAAUAAUUUAUAUAUUCAUCUGGGCUACACCUGUUUGUUUUAUUUCAUGCACAGGCUGGAGGAUGCUGGUUAUGCGGUUGGUGCAAGGGUGCUUGAACUAAGGGAGAAGGUUUGAUACCUGUUUGUUUGCUUGAUUAUAUAAUGAUCAUUAUAAAAUAAUGUAACAAUUUUGAUGCUCUAUUUUUGCAAAUAAUAUUUUAUAGUCAUAUUUCCAUUUGCAAAAAUAAUUUUGCUUGGAUAAUUCUUUCUAGCUCAGAAAUCUGAUAUAUAUCAUAUAUGAGUAUCGAAGCACUGUACAUUCAGCAUAAAACACAGUUAUGGAUUUUCUUGGACUAAUCAAAUAAUACCAAAUGUAGGGUCACUGCAUCAGCUCUUUAUUUUUUGUUGAAUUUUAUAGGAUAAAAACUUCAUUUUGUAUAAUAUGUGCAAUGAUUUCAAGUACCCUACAGUUUUUUUAAAAGAAAACAUGAUCUCCAUGUUAUCAUAUAUAUUCUUCUCGCUUUGAGGUAGUCAUGUCCGGAAGAUAAUUAGAUUGUUACUUGAGAUAGGAUUUCAUAGCAAACUUGAGAUAAAGCUUUAUGGUUACAAUGAUAAGCUUCCCAUCCUGCUGACCAAGAUCUUGUCUACUCUUCGUUCCUUUUCUCCAAAAAAAUAGAUAGGUUUGAGGUAAUAUUUUGUGGAGCAAAGAUUGUUCUUUUAAUAGGACUGUCACAAUGUACAAUAAAAAGGAUUUGGAAAACACUUGUGUCUACAAAACAGAGAACAUGUACUGAGCAUUAUUUUAGAAAUUUCUUGUGUAACUGACAAUUUAUUCUCUUGUCUACCAACCAUUUUCUUGGUUACUCAAGCUGUGUAAAGAGCCGUUUUAAAAUUUUUAUUUUCAAUAGCUGCACCCCCAUCUAAAAUUUUACAAUUAAUAUUAGUUACUUUGAACUGUGUAAAGAGCUGUUUUAAAAUUUUUAUUUUGAAUAGCUGCACCCCCAUUCUAAAAUUUUACAAUUAAUAUUAGUUACUUUGAAACAAAAUGAUGUGUAUAAAUACACAGUUUUCAAAAUACACAGUUUUGUAUGUGCUUCAAGAACGUGUAACUCCAAUUGACAUGAUUUCAGUUGUCUAACUCACCUUGUUUUGUGGUUGUGAACUGGCCAGGAAACACAAAGGCGAGGGCGACUCCAGGACCUGUCAAAACGCAGGAUUGACGGCUUCAAGGACGGUCGCAGGGCUGAGGUGGGCAACACAGGUCGGGCUCGGGCGUCGGGCGACGGCGACCUAGCAACGCAGGUCGUGCGAGGGCGUCGGGCUGCAACGUCGGGGGCGAGGGCGAGGGCGACUCUCCAGACCAGGCAACGCGGGCAUCGGAGGCGAGGGCGACGGUGUUGGGGGCGAGGGCGAGGGCGACUCUCCAGACUUGGCAACGCAGGUCGGGCGUCGAGGGCGAGGGCGAGGGCGAGGAUGAGGGUGACGACGGGCGAUGGUGUCGGGGGCGAGGGCGUCUCUCCAGACCUAGCAACGCAGGUCCGUCGUCGGGCGUCGGGGGCGAGGGCGAGGGCGGCGAGGACCCAGGACGAUCGACGGAGAGGUGCGACGUUGAGCGAGGGCGAGUGCGAGGGCGUCGGGCGAGGAUUGGUACCGUGCGCGAUUCUUUCCUUAGCGUGCUAUUGUUUCCUUUACCGGACUGAGAUUUUAUAUCAGGAAUCCUUUCUUUUUCUUUAUUUCAUUUCGCACCCUUCCACCUCUCUGUUAUAUAUUAUUCUGAAUUGUAAAUUUACAUCAGGAAUCCUAUCUUGUUUUUUUAUUCAAUUUUGACCCUUCCACCUCCUACGCACGGGUUUGAAUCCCACGUCGGGGCGGGGCGAGCGACCCCAAAAAAAGUCGCACCAUAUGGUGGUCUUACUUUUGUUCUUUUUAGUUGUAUAGGAGAUAGUUUUUAACUCCAGUUUCUAAGAACUGAGGUGUACAGCAUUUGCUGAAGGUGAAAGCAGUCUUACGAGCUGAAGAUGAGUGACCCUGCGGCCGAGAGCCCGAGGGGCGGCGACCCUCCGCCGCUCCCCCCUCCCACCGCCUCCACCUCUGUCGCUACCGCUCUCGCCGCCUCUGCCCUCGCCUCAGCCUGCACCCCCGCUAGCCCUCGAGCCCCCACAGCCCUCCUCCUCCGCCCGAGCACCGCCGGAGCAGUUCGACUAGCGACCCUUUGACGCCGACAACAAGUCUUCCCGCUGUGGCCUCGUCGUUGUUCCUCCCAACCAAUCCAGGUUCGACCUCCAGAACUUCAUCCUUCAGAACCUCCACUCUUUCGUCCCUCCUAACCUCCUCGCUCCUUCUCCGGCUCCGGCUCCCCUUUGGGUCACCCCUCCCUCUCGGGACCCUCGUUUUAACUUGUUCUUCAUCAAGAACACGCUGUGUUUCUUGCUUGCUCCUUGUCCAAGUCGCCUGGCCGUCGUUUUGGUCCAAGACUACGUUUUUAAGGUAACCGUCUCCAGCCAGAACAUGGCCAAUGUUCUGGCUGUUGUCGGCGCGAUUCGUAUCGGCGAGGUUGAGCUGCACCUCCACCCGUCCAUGGCGUCUGCCCUUCGCUUCGCUAGCCGCCUACCUCCCCCCCUCACCCCCUAGCUCCCACCCACCGCCUGGGCAUGGAGUUAUUGCGCGGCGUCAGGGUAGCUCCCUUGUCAACUCGCGGGGUUCCGCGCCCUCGAGUGAUGAGAAGAUCUCGUUUGGGUCAGUCCCACAAGAUCUUCUUCUUGCUGACCCCUCCAUCCCUUUCCCUGCUACGAACCCUGUGCCGGGUGUUGCUGGCCCGACAACACGUCCUGUCGCCUUUAACCCGACAGCUCCCCCUAGGACGCCUCGCUUGAAUGCCCAACGACCGCGCAGCUACCCGGAGGCCGCGCUCUCUCCCCUGCCCCCAAAUGACCUUCUUCCAAAACCUUAAAACCUCUAAACCCAAACUUCCGCUGCUUUCGGUGCCUCGCCCCUGACCACCUAGUGAACGAGUCCCGCGACCCUGUCAAGUGUCGCCGCUGCCACGCUUCAGGCCACAGAGCUCCCCAGUGCAAAAUGGCUCCGCUUCGUCGCCUGCUCCGUGCUGCCACCAACCGCCUUCGCACCCCAGCGGCCGCUCGGGCUGCUGCGCUGCGUCGGACGUCUGACGGAGACGGUUCGCCUGCUUUGCCGCCACCUGCUCUUUGCGGCUCCCUGAAAGGUCCUAAUAUGGCUAGAGGGGGGGUGAAUAGCCUAUUUAAAAAUUCUACAAACUCACUAGAGCAAGAGGUUAGUAAAUAAAAAAGCGAAGCUUUUUGCUCUAGCUCUACGGGGUGUUUGCAAGCCACCUAUCCAACAAUUCUAGUUGAUAUAAAUACUAGACACACAAGAGCUAAGUCACUACUUACACUAGUAAGUAAGCUACUCUAGUUUGCGGGAAUGUAAAAGAGAUGGUUUGAACUUUAUACCGCCGCGUAGAGGGGAUGAACCAAUCAAUAAUACGAAGUCCAAUCACCGGGAGAAAUCCAAUGAACAAUCACAAUGGAGACACACAAUUUUUCUCCCGAGGUUCACGUGCUUGCCGGCACGCUACGUCCCCGUUGUGUCGACCAACACUUGGUGGUUCGGUGGCUAAGAGGUGUAGCACGAACAUCGUCCUCACUAGGACACCACAAGAACCUACCCACAAGUGAGGUAACUCAAUGACACGAGCAAUCCACUAGAGUUACCUUUCGGCUCUCUGCCGGGGAAGGUACAAGACCCCUCACAAUCACCGGGAGAUGGCCACGAACAAUCACCAACUCGUGCCAAUCCUCCUCCGCUGCUCCAAGCCGUCUAGGUGGCGGCAACCACCAAGAGUAACAAGAAAACCACAGCUAGAACGAUCCCCAAGUGCCACUAGAUGCAAUCACUCAAGCAAAUGCACUUGGAAUCACUCCCAAUCUCACAAUGAUGAAUAAUCUAUGAAGGUGAUGAGUGGGAGGUGUUUGCUUAGGCUCACAAGGAUGUCAAGUAUGUUAGAAUGCCAGGAGAGUGAGCCCCAAGCCGGCCAAACACGUAUUUAUAGCCCCUCAAACAAAUAGAGCCGUUGGCUCUUUCAUUGGGCGAAAUACGGGGUCACCGGACGCUCUUAAAGGGGCACCGGACGCUCAACACCAGCGUCCGGUGCUCCAACGUCAGCCGCGUGUCAGAGUCUAACGGUAACCUGCAGAGCACCGGACGCUGAGCAGGUUGGCACCGGACGCGUCCGGUGCACACCGGACUCAUGCGCACAGAGCUCCGCAAACUCGCAGGGUCACCGGACGCAAGCCACCGGACUCAUGCGCAGAGAGGUUUGCAAAACCUCGUCACACCGAACGCUCCAAGCUGCGUCCGGUGCCUAUCGUCCGGUGCCUAACCCUAACCGAGUCAGGCAGCCUGCACACCGGACGCUCAGACUCAGCGUCCGGUACCUCUGAGCCAGCGUCCGGUGAGUGUUCCUCAGCGAGAAACACUCCCGCGACUUCUCCAAAAUUUCCCACCGGCGCAAUAGAAUAUAUGCACUUCAUUUUCUCGAAAAGCGCCAAAUCCCGCCGAGCGAGCUCGGCGGGAGGGAGAGAGGAACCCAUCCUCUCUCUACCUUCCAAACUCCACCUCCUUCUCAAAGUGUGCCAACACCACAAGUGUAAACCAACAAGUGCACGAGUGUUAGCAUUUUCACAAUCAUUUUCUUCAAAGGAGUUAAGUUAGCUCACUAGGUUCUAAAUGCAUGCACAUGAACAAUGACACUUAGUGGCACUUGAUAACCGCUUAGCCAAAGAAUUCCCCUCUUUAUAGUACGGCUAUCUAUCCUAAAUGUGAUCACACCCUCUGUGGUGUCUUGAUCACCAAAACCAAAACCCUAAGCAAUACCUUUACCUUGAUCUCCAAAGGGUUUUGUUUUUCUCUUUCUUCUUUUUCAAGUUGAGCACUUGAUCUUCUUGUGGUCAUCACCAUCAUCACCAUGAUCAUCUCUUGCUCCAUCACUUGGCAUGUACCAACCUCAUUAAGUCUACACACACUUAGCAUAGAGGUUAGUACUAGGGUUUCAUCAUUUAUCCAAAACCAAACUAGGGCUUUCACUCCCCUGCGGCCCAUCUUGGGUCCCCGGACUUUUCCUUCCCCGCUUCGGCCGCUUUCGACGCGGCAAACAUGGUGGCCUCCAGCUCCACCGCCACGGUGCCCGCCGCGCCUCAGGGAUCCCAGUUCCUGCUGCUUCUCGCCUUCGAGCCUCCCCCACUCCAGCCUCUAAGUGUGGAUAAGUUCGUCACCCCGUAUUCGGUGGGGGGACCUUGCACCCCUGCGGACCCCCGGGGACUCAUCUUCGUCGGCGCGGACACGAACGUCUCCAGCUCGCCGCGCGUUCUGCUCCGCGAGCCGACGGAGCGGUCCAACCACAUCUUCGCGGGCAUGGACGCCUCUGACUCCUCCGGCGAGGAGUUCGGCAGUGGUGACCUCGACUCGAGCUCGGAUGAUGCCUGGCAGCAGACUCGUCUGCGUCAUGCAGAGGCUUGGGUCUCUCCGGGGCGUGCUGAGCUCUCGGAGAGGCUCCUUUUCGCCUUCGUCGAGCCCCCGGUGCCUAUGAUGGAGGUGAGCUUCUUCCUCCGGAGCGCCCUACGGGCGCUUGCUCCCCGCCUCCCGGUCGACUUGCUGCCUUCCUCCCGUGGUGCCAUGCUUCUACGCUGCGAGUCAGCUGUGGACCGUGACCUCCUCCACCGCCUCGGCCCUGUCUCCCACGAGGGGCAUAUGCUGUACCUCCAAAAGCCAGAGGAAACCUCCAACAGGUUCUUUCGUGUGCCUGCCUGGCUCGCCUUUGUUGCUGUGACCGACUUCCCCAACGAGCAUUGGUAUGCGGAGAAGAUCUUCCAGUGCUUCAGGAGCUUCAGCGAGGUGGUUGAGAUCGACCCGGAUUACCUUACCGGGGAGAACUUUGGCUCCCUGCGCCUGCUCCUAGAGGUGAACGACCGGCUAGAGAUCCCCUUGUACCUCAGGAUCUCUAGCAAACUCGGAGUGGGUCGGGCUGGUGCUGUGGCCAAGAUCCUCCCCAUCCGAGUUUGGCCUCGCCAGUCCCAGCUGGACAGCGAGGGGAACCUCGCGCGGUUCUUUGGCCCCCCGGCGCCCCCCAGCGCGGGCCGUUGCUGGGACCAUCCAUGGGACCAAUGUCAAGCACGCAGCAGCUUCACCCAACGUCAAACUACUUCUACUUGACCUCCACCCCACCGGUGGAGCUCUGCGGGCCCCCUCUGCAGCCACGCUCGUCUUCGACCCCUUGCGGCCUUGCUCGGCCCCUGACAUUGGGUCGGCCGCGGCGUGCACGGCGGUGCCCGCGGCCCAGGUCCUCGGGUUGGCUAUUGCUCUGGCUCGCCUCCUGUCCGCGCCGAGACAGCUAGUGGCGACUCCAGCCUCGUCGAGGCUCCUGGCGGCGACCCUGUCAAGGCAGGGUCCGGCCGCCGCCUCGAGCCCCAAGCUCAUCACCUACCAUCGCCGUUGUCUGCGCCUAAAGACGAGUGCAGCGCUCCCAGCUCCUCCUCAGCCUGCGCCCAAGCCGUCGAGGCGCGCCAGCUCGCGCCUUGCUGCUAAGGCGAAUCAGCACUUCGUGGACAUGACAGCCCAGGCGAUGCAGCACAAGGCACUGCUCAACACUCUGUCUGGCUGCUCCAAAACCUUGAAGAAACAGGUCAACAAACGCAACAUCCUCUCCCGAAGCCUUCUACCCAUCAGUGGACCUGACCUGCGCAAGCUCGUUUCCGCGGCAAGGCUGAGCUGCAAGAACAACGACACGGUCGACGCUGCUGUGGUGGCUGAUCCGGCCUAAUGUUACUCAACUCUACUCACCACGUCCGCGGCGGUUGGCGCCACCUCCCCAAUGACCGCUGGAUCUGCGCUUUGGGUGGCGUCUGUAUCAGUCCCAUUCUCAGUUUCUUCUCUUCUUUUUCCCUUCUUCUUCCUUUCUGGGCCUCUAGGCCUGUUUUAUGUAACGGGUGCUGUAACGUUCCUAGAUGAGCAGUUCAAACUUUCGCACCUUUAACGUUUUGUCUUGGAACGUGUGUGGUCUUGGUGACUUGGACAAAUGCAACUUGGUCCGCAGUGUUUUCCUUGAUGUUAAACCCUCUGUUAUUUGCUUACAAGAGUCUAAGCUUGAUGAUAUUAACUUGUUCAAAGCGGCUUCCUUCCUCCCACAUAAUUUCGCCCGCUCUUUUGUUUUUGCUCCUGCUGAUGGAUCGCGGGGUGGCAUCGUCACUGCCUGGGACCCCUCCCUGUUCUCCCUAACCUCGCAUCUACUUAAGCCUCACACUCUUACUACUUCUCUUUCCUGCAAUGCUACCAAUCAUGACUUCACAAUAACAAACACUUAUGGCCCCUCAGAUCACUCCCUCUCCAACAACUAUCUAAAUUGCCUACGAGAACUCAAAUCUAGUGUUUCUGGACCUUGGAUUCUUUUGGGAGACUUCAAUCUGGUCUGAGGCCCAGACGACAAAAGCAACAGGCAGUACAGCCACUCCCUGGCCGCUGCCUUCAACGAUGCCAUUCACGAUCUAGAGAUCUCUGAAAUUGACCUCUGUGAUCGCCGUUUCACUUGGUCCAACGGCCAGGCCAACCUAAUCCUUGCUCGCCUAGAUCGAGCCUUCUCUAACAACGACCUCUUUCUUGACUUCCCUUUGAUCACCCUUUCUUCAGUUCAUAAACCCACGUCUGACCACACCCCUCUUCUCCUCUCUCUUUCCUCCAACCUACCGAAAAACCAUUCCUUCAGACUGGAGAACCAUUGGCUCAAAGUUGAUUCUUUCUUAACCUCGGUCCUCCUAGAUUGGGAUCAGGCACCGACUUGUGCUGAUGCUGCUGGGCAGCUGGUCGCCUGCAUCAAAGCUUCGCGGGCGUCUGCAAAGGUUUGGUCUCGGUGUAAAAGGGCACCACCUCUUCUAACCAAAAACUGCAUAUUCUUGAUUCAGUUAUUUGAUUAUUUCAAAGAAAUGAGGUCCCUGUCAGUACAGGAAUUCCAGGUCCGGCAGCUCGCACAAAACACUUUGCAGCAAGCUAUCAAGGAAAAGGCAACGUAUUGGAAACAAAGGAGCAAGGAAAAACACAUCAGAGAAAGCGACGCCAACACAGCUUUCCACCAUGCCAGGGCUUCUCAAAGGUUACGCAGAAACCAUAUUCGCAUGGUCAGGGUCGGAGACCACGAGAUCGUUGGUCAUGCUGGGAAAGUUGAAGCACUCACUGCUUACUUCAAAGGAAUCUUCGGUGUGCCUGGGGAGUCCUCACCCCUAGAUGUUUCAACUCUUUUUGCCGGAAGUCCCUCUCCAUCCAAUGAACUGGUCAAGCCCUUUUCUGAAGAUGAAGCAAAGAGUGCUCUGCAAUUGAUGAACUCUAAUAGUGCGCCAGGACCAGAUGGGUUUGGCUCGGCCUUUUUCAGGACAGCCUAGGCGAGGGUGAAGUCUAUGCUCAUGAAUUUCUUCAACAACUUCUUUGAUGGCAAUGCUCAGCUGGAGAGGAUCAACCGUUCUCACAUGGUAUUGAUACCCAAGAAGCCAGGGGCGGUUGAUGUCGACUGCUUUCGCCCUAUCAGUAUGCAAAACAGCUGCCUCAAGAUCCUGACGAAAAUGUUGACCUCAAGGCUACAACUGCAAAUCGCAAGUCUAAUAGAUAUUCACCAAACCGGCUUCGUCCCUGGAAGAUCCAUUGCGGACACAUUUGUUUAUGCCCUCGAGCUCGUUCAAGUCUGCCACAAAAGGAAGAAGCCAGCUAUAAUCCUCAAGCUAGACUUCGCGAAGGCCUUUGACACGGUGAACUGGCAAGGUCUAAUUUCUGCAAUGCAAGCCAGAGGAUUCAACCUGUUGGGAAAAUGCUCUCCGCACUCUCCAGCAGUACGGUGGAUCGAGAACCUUCUCACUCGGUGCUGUGAGAUGUUUGAGCACUAACGGACAGUGGGCUCAACAGUAGGUGAAUACAGUGAAUGCUCUCUCUCUUUAUUAAUAACGGCAUCACCCCUUAUAUAGGGCUCAGAAACCGACCUAAUGACAUUUACAAAAAUGCCCCGUGACGGUGGGGGAAUAUCCCAGCAUAUUCUCCAAUUACAAUCUACCGACUCCAAGUCACUCGCGUAAUUUCGCAUUACAAAGACCACGCGUGCCCCCUGUCUAGGGCUUCAGCCGGUCGGAGGCUUGGAUCCUCCGCCCAGUCGCGGAUCCUUCGACACUUCAUGUGUCGGAGGUUCCUUAGCUCGGACGCGCCGGGGGUUCCUCGGCUCAGCUGUCCUGGAGGUUCCUUGGCUCGCCCGGUCGCCGAUCCUUCGACGCGUCUCCGUCGGAGGUUCUGAAAGGUCCAAAUGGCUAGAGGGGGGGGGGGUGAAUAGCCUAUUUAAAUUUUCUACAAACUUCAACUAGACAAGUUGAUUAGUAAAACAAAAGGCGAAGCUAUUCUAGCACUAGCACAACUAAGCUAUGCAAGCCACCUAAACAAGUCUAGUACAAGGCUAAACACUAAAGCACUACAACAAGAGAAGGCUAGUUACACUCCUAAACAAGAAGACUAAACUAAACAAGCUAAACAACUAGCAAGGUAUACAAGUAAUUAAAGGAGUGGAGAGUGAUUGUUAUACCAACGUUGUAGAGUAGAGAUAUAACCAACCAAUCACUCACAAUUACAAGAGAAUCCUCGGCAAGAGAUGACACAAGAUUUUUUACCGAGGUUCACUUGCUUCCCGGCAAGCUACUCCUCGUUGUGGCGAUACACCCACUUGAUGGAUCACGAGCUAAUUGGCAAUCCAAAGCCAAACCCUCAGCGGGUGCCGCACAUCCACUCACAAGAUGGGGAUCCUCCAAGCCACGAGCAAUCCACUAGAGUAGCCAAUUGCGAUCUCCCGCGGGGAAGGCUCAAGAACCCCUCACAAAUCACUUGGUGAGGCUCGAAACAAUCUCCAAUCACGAGCUCCACACCACCGCUGCUCCAAGCCGUCUAGGGCGUCGGGAAACACCUAAGAGUAACAAGAAAUCCGCAGCAAACUCAAGAAUCAAGUGCCACUAAAUGCAACUCUCAAAGCAAUGCACUUGAAUCUCACUCAAUCUCACCAGGAUGAGCAAUCAAGCAAGGAGAUGAGUGGAGGGAGUGUUCUCUAGCUCAAUGUAUGCCUCAAGUAUUCAAAAUGUGCAAGAGAGAACCUCCCAAAGCUGGCCACCAACUAUUUAUAAGCCACCUCAAAGAAAUAGCCGUUGGCUGUUUUUCACUGGGCUGAAAACGGGGGCACCGGACGCUACUAAGUGAGCACCGGACGCUCGACCCCCUACGUCCGGUGCACUGGAGUUGGCCACGUGUCCUCUUUGAAUCUCGCGCGUCAGUUUCUAACGGCUACCUGCAACACACCGGACGCUCUGCAAGUCCACACCGGACGGUCCGGUGCUCACCGGACUCGUGCGCAGAGAGGGUGUCAAACUCGCGACCUCACCGGACGCUGGGCACCGGACGGUCCGGUGCUCACCGGACUCGUGCGCAGAGAGGGUUGCAAAAACCCCUCACACCGGACGCUUACCACCGGACGCUCUCAGAGUGCGUCCGGUGCUUAACCCUAGUAGGGUCAAGCACACCGGACGCUGAGGCCAGCGUCCGGUGCCUCCGUACUCAGCGUCCGGUGAGUGUUUCUCACUAAGAAAACACUCCCGCGACUCCUCUAAAUUUCCCACCGGCGCAAUAGAAAAUAUAUACUUAUUUUUCUCAAAAGCGCCGAAUCUCGCCUCGCAAGCUCGGCGGGAGGAAGAGAGGAACCCACACCCCUCUCAACCCUAGGAACUUCACCUCCUUCAACCCUAAGGAGUUUUCUUCCGUCCGGCGGGAAAUUGAGUCCCUGAGAAAGGAAAGAGAUGAUUACAAGGCUGGGUCGGAGGUCUUGAAGAAGGAGAAAGAAGAUGACGAAGCUUCGGUGGCUGUCCUCCGCACGAAUGUCACUGAGGCGGGGAGAGCUAGGGAUUUGGCCCUACAGCGAGCCGAGAAGGCGGAGGACAUUGCUGACCGCCUUCGCAAGGAGCUUGAUGCUGAGCGGAUGUCUGCGGCUGAGCUGCAGACGCGCAUGCAGAAGGCGGAAGCGGAGGCUGCAGCUAUUGUUGGGCUCUAUGCCGACUCGCUGGCGCAGUUUGGGGGAAGCACCUCUGCUCCUCCGCCCAACGGCGACGCUGGGGCUGGCCUCGCAUGGCUGAAGUCUCAUAUCCGUAUGCUCCCUGACUUUGUCGGGGGUGCUGUUGAUUUUGGGGCUUUGGCCGCGGUUAGCUCCUUUGCUAAGCUGUUGCGUCGCGGAGGUUGCUCCCACGCGGAGGGAGUUGCCAAGGAGGAGUUCGCGUCUGCGGAGGAUGUUGGCGAGGGCACCUCGAGCCUGCGCAAAUCUGUCCGGAACUUCAUUAGUUCGUUCUGGAUUAGGUUUGGGCGGGCUGAGGCGAAGAAGAUGGCGGAAGCUCGUCGCGCUGAGGUAUUCUUUGUCUUGGUUUUUCUUUUUGUAUUCUGUUUUGCUGCUUUGCAAUGUUUCUUAAGCUUGUUGAUUUGCAGGAGAUUGCCAAGAGGGCGGCUAAGGUUGACAAGCCCGGUCCUUCGCGUCCCCCUAGCGAAGCGCGUCCUUCGACUCAGGCUGAGGCGGAGGUUCGUGACGCAAGUGUUAAGGCUCCAGAGGAAUCUGGUGCCAAGGAUUCGGCGCAGCCCGAGACUUCUGCCCCUCCUCCGCCUCAGGUGUGAGGCUUUUUAGUUUGUAGGUUUUUUCUUAGCUUUUUUGCGUCUGUAUGUGUGACGCUUUUUGUAAGUAAGGCCGAAGGUUCUGAUUAAUUUGUAAAGACUAUUGAAAAAUGUAAUAUAAAGAGUUGUUUUUGGAUAAGCCAUUUUUUACACUUUGAUCCUGCGCAGGUCUCUGGCGGAGGACCUGCGCAGGAUCUUAGCGAAACUCUGCUUUCAAUUUUCUAUAAAGGAAUUUAUGUUUCUGGCGAGUUGUGGGAGUACUGGCGGAUUGCCUUCCCCAAUAUGAGAGUGGUGGAUAUGUUUGAGUUUGUUGGAUACGACCUGGAUGACGAACGAUCUGAAUUCGUCCGGUCGCUUGCGCGCCGAGGUUCAUGGCCUCCGGCUUAGGUUGUUGUUUUUGUCUUGUUUUUCGCUUAUCGUGGACUAUGUGUUUAUUUGGGAGAGAGGAACCCACACCCCUCUCAACCCUAGGAACUUCACCUCCUUUGUAAAUGUGCUAACACCAACAAGUGUCCACCACCAAAGUUGCAAGUGUGUUAGAUUUUCACAAACAUUUUCACCAAAGGAGUUAAGUUAGCACUUUACUAGAACCUAAUGCAUAUGCUCAAGAUAUGAACCUAGUAGCACUUGAUUCGAGAGAUGUCCGUGAUUUCUCCUCUUGAUAGUCGGCUAUCUAUCCUAAACCCGGUCAAUCACUUCUCUACUCAUCUUAGACCGGCAAAAGUAAAACCCUAUGUUUAUACCUUUGCCUUGAUAACUUUGCUCCUCGUCUAUCACCAUGAUCUCCACUUCAUGCUUCAUCCCUUUAUGAUCGUGUGGCCACCUUUCCAUGCCACUAUGCACCUUCAUGACAUGUGUUGCUAUGCCUAACUCAAAUCACUUAAACACAAGACAUUAGCAACUUGGUGUCAUUAAUUACCAAAACCAAACUUGGGCUUUCAGGUUCCCUGACUUGACGCGUCGGAGGUCCCUCGCCUCCGCCGCGUCCUCAACCAUCCUCGGACUUGAGAGGGCCGGAGGUUACUCUCUUCCUUGCUUGUGGGCCUCCGCUGGUGCAGUCCCUGCACGCACUUAGCACGACAAGACGAGUCAUCAAUAUUAGUCUUUUUUCAGGGUCCUCCGCACGCAACUCCACGAAGGUUCCCUGGGUGGAGGAUAUCCUCCGACACUUCAGAGGUCGGAGGUUCCUUGGCUUGAAGGGCAUCCUUAGACGCUGCCAGGGGGAAGGGUGCGGCCAUCCCCCAACAGUUCCCCCCUUUUUGGGCUAAUGGCACUCCUGCGGUCCAUGUGCUCAAAAACAUGCCACGCUGCGGAGGCUACGAGCAUGGUUGCUGCCUUCCCCCUGGCGCGCAGGAUGUGCUUGUUAGCAUUGUUGGAAAAAUGUUUCUUUUCCUUAGUCAUAAUUUUCUUCGUUUGUUUGUUUUGCCAGGAUCCUCCGGUCAUUACUGUUCUGAUAUCCUGUUAUCCUUCGCGAUUUAUAUUGCGGAGGUUAUUAUAGUCGUUGGAGUUAGCCGUUGGUGCUGGGGAAUCGCAACGGUCAGGCCGAAUCCUCCGCUUUUAGCCGUUGGGAGCGGGGAAUCGCAACGGUCACGCGGUCGCAGGCCCCCCCUAUAAAAGGGAAUGCUGGGGAGCCUUGAGCUCUCACCCCUGCCUCUCAUUGCUUGCACACUUUCCUUCGCCACAUCUUCCUCUCUGAGCUGCUCGUGCGCCUUUUUGUUGUGUUUAGUUCCUAAGUGUUGUCGGAGGAUUUACGGUGGCUCAUCUUCCUCCGCCGCGUCCUUCUAGGUCAGAUUUUUCUGGUCCUUUGCGCAAUUUUCUUAGUGUGAGGUCUGGAGGUUGGCUGCGAAGGUUUGAGGAGUGGAUGCUUGAGGUGGCUGCAGCUCAAGACCUGGAGGAGACGCUGUCUGACGUUGAAGCUUCCGUUGGUGAUUUGAUUAGUGCGAUGGAAUUUGAGGAGAUGGCUUCGAUCACUUUUGAAUUUGGGGAGUCGACUGUGAGGGAGGAGGAUAUUGCCGAUAUGGUCGAGGCUAGGUUUUUCAAGGCGGGUCGAGCGAAGGCUCCACCUGCGGGUCAGACAGUACCUGCGUCUGAAGAGGGUUAUGCGGUGGUUUUCAGGGAUAUCUUCACCUGCGGACUUCGGAUGCCUCCGUAUCAUUUCCUUCGCGAAGUGAUGGAGAGUUUCAACGUGGAGCUGCAGCAUUUCAGCCCCAAUGGGAUACUGACCCUUAGCAAAUUUGCCUGGGCGUGUGAAUCAUACGGAGCUGCGCCUCACGUAGAUACUUUUUGCUCGUAUUUUGAACUCCAGCGCCAGCCUAAGAAGGUGAAGGAUGCCAAAGGAGUUGAACAUAUAGCGCAGUUUGGAAGCUGCGCGUUCAUGCCGCGCCGCACAAUGCCUGGGUCUAGGUGCGAGAUCUCCUACUGCCAGAAGGGCAAGUGGGAGAAGGAUUGGAUGAGGGCCUGGUUCUACGUGAAGACCUCCGCCGCGUCGAGGACUCUGGAGGACGGCAGUGUUGAUAAGGUGUAUCCUUAUGCGUCUGAGAUGAAGUCGCUUAGGCCUAUCCACAAGGUUGACCCUUCGAAUCCGGUUUCGGAGGAGCAGCUGGAGGCGCGACUGGCAUGCGACAAGGCCUUUGCUCUAGCCUGCCGAUACUCCGGAGGUCGGGAUUUAGUUGAGGAGAUGGUCGCAGCUGAUUACUGGCCCCUAGGCCGCAGGACUGACGAAUUCACCAUUGAAAUGGUGCAAGUGCCGGUCUUUGGCCCUCCGGAGGGAUUGCCGUUUCCCCGGUUUGGAGCAGGUUUGCCGGAGGAUGAGACUAAGGAGUCCUUCCUUGACCGCGUGGAGGUUUCUGCUCGGAGGAUUGUCGGGAAGAUCUCGGAGAAGGAGUAUCUCCAGCGGAGGUCUGCACUUGGUACGAUGCCUCGCUUCAACCGAGUGUUUGAGGAAUUGGGGAUUGAGUAUGAGGAUUAUGUUAUUCCUCCGGAUGUUUUGUUGGGAUUGGAGAAGAAGAAGGAUUCCUCCAAGGCCGUUGCUGCGGCGGAGGCCAAGAAGAGGAAGAGUGGUGGUGCUGUCAAGCAACUUGCGAAGAAGCGCAAGGCGGAGGUUGUGUUGGAGACUCCUGUGGAGUCUUCCUCCGCCCGCUCUUCUGCUGCCGAGUCUAACUCGGUGGCUUCUGUUCCUGCGGAGGCUGCUCCUGCUGGUGGAGUUCCUGAGGUUGAAGCCUCACGCGCGGUCUCUUCUGUACGCGCGCCUUUCGCGUCCCUUCUUGGGGAGGAGUCUUCCGACGCGGAGGCCCCUGAGGCGAGUCUUGCGCGGGAGGCAAAUCCUGCGGUGGCUGAGAGUCCUGCGCGGGAGGCUUUAGCUGGAGGAGGAUCUCCGCCGAAGGAUGGGCGGGAGGAAUCCAGUGAUGAUGCAGAGUCUGUCUCUGUUCGGAGGAUUAAGAGGGCGGAGGAUAUCUCGCGUCCGGCUGGAGAUGGUAUAAACUCGUUGUACAUGGGUAAAAUUUUUUUGUUGAUUCUUGUUUUUCUGUAUAUUAUUAUUUUUUGAUUGACUUGGUCUCAUGUUAUUUUUAUAUUUUUCAGAGGAUGUUUUUGCUGGGUUGGCUACCGCGGAGGAGUUGGCUAAAGGUGCCAGCGUUGCGCAGGAAGGACUUGCUGUUCCUCCGCGGCGCGAGCCUACGCCUUCUGCGUUGGCCAGCAGACCUUCCCCUGCUGAUGUUCUUGGUCCUGGUGAGUUUCUUCUUCUUUGUUCAACUCUUUGGUUUGUUUUUUGUUAUUUUAUUCUAAGGUUGGUUUUGGUUUUGCGCAGGUGCUUCUGAUCCUUCGAUCACAGGUUGGACAGGUGCCUUGCGCGAGGUUCAUUCUUUGGUCGGAGGUUCGUAGUCUGGCCUCCGCUAAUGGGUUUUUGGUUCUUACGAUUUUUCCUUACUUGUUUUCGAUUUACAGAUCGUUUCCGUCAGAAGCUUUGCAACAUGGACUUUGACACGCUACUCCGCGUGCAAUAUGAGCACCAUAGCCUUGUACGUUUGCGAUGUGUUAUAUUUUCCUUUGCCGUUUUUCGCUCGGAGGUUGGUUUUGACUUUUAUUUUUUGAGCAGGGUCAUCACAUGGCUGCCGCCUUGGAGGAGCGUUGCUCACGGGAGGUUAUUUGCCGGGACGAGGCUAUUGGUGCUCUGAAGAAGGAGAACGAGACCUUGGAGGUUGAGAAGGCUCGCCUGACGGAGGAGGUUAAGGAGUUUUCUUCCGUCCGGCGGGAAAUUGAGUCCCUGAGAAAGGAAAGAGAUGAUUACAAGGCUGGGUCGGAGGUCUUGAAGAAGGAGAAAGAAGAUGACGAAGCUUCGGCGGCUGUCCUCCGCAUGAAUGUCACUGAGGCGGGGAGAGCUAGGGAUUUGGCCCUACAGCGAGCCGAGAAGGCGGAGGACAUUGCUGACCGCCUUCGCAAGGAGCUUGAUGCUGAGCGGAUGUCUGCGGCUGAGCUGCAGACGCGCAUGCAGAAGGCGGAAGCGGAGGCUGCAGCUAUUGUUGGGCUCUAUGCCGACUCGCUGGCGCAGUUUGGGGGAAGCACCUCUGCUCCUCCGCCCAACGGCGACGCUGGGGCUGGCCUCGCAUGGCUGAAGUCUCAUAUCCGUAUGCUCCCUGACUUUGUCGGGGGUGCUGUUGAUUUUGGGGCUUUGGCCGCAGUUAGCUCCUUUGCUAAGCUGUUGCGUCGCGGAGGUUGCUCCCACGCGGAGGGAGUUGCCAAGGAGGAGUUCGCGUCUGCGGAGGAUGUUGGCGAGGGCACCUCGAGCCUGCGCAAAUCUGUCCGGAACUUCAUUAGUUCGUUCUGGAUUAGGUUUGGGCGGGCUGAGGCGAAGAAGAUGGCGGAAGCUCGUCGCGCUGAGGUAUUCUUUGUCUUGGUUUUUCUUUUUGUAUUCUGUUUUCCUGCUUUGCAAUGUUUCUUAAGCUUGUUGAUUUGCAGGAGAUUGCCAAGAGGGCGGCUAAGGUUGACAAGCCCGGUCCUUCGCGUCCCCCUAGCGAAGCGCAUCCUUCGACUCAGGCUGAGGCGGAGGUUCGUGACGCAAGUGUUAAGGCUCCAGAGGAAUCUGGUGCCAAGGAUUCGGCGCAGCCCGAGACUUCUGCCCCUCCUCCGCCUCAGGUGUGAGGCUUUUUAGUUUGUAGGUUUUUUCUUAGCUUUUUUGCGUCUGUAUGUGUGACGCUUUUUGUAAGUAAGGCCGAAGGUUCUGAUUAAUUUGUAAAGACUAUUGAAAAAUGUAAUAUAAAGAGUUGUUUUUGGAUAAGCCUUUUUUUACACUUUGAUCCUGCGCAGGUCUCUGGCGGAGGACCUGCGCAGGAUCUUAGCGAAACUCUGCUUUCAAUUUUCUAUAAAGGAAUUUAUGUUUCUGGCGAGUUGUGGGAGUACUGGCGGAUUGCCUUCCCCAAUAUGAGAGUGGUGGAUAUGUUUGAGUUUGUUGGAUACGACCUGGAUGACGAACGAUCUGAAUUCGUCCGGUCGCUUGCGCGCCGAGGUUCAUGGCCUCCGGCUUAGGUUGUUGUUUUUGUCUUGUUUUUCGCUUAUCGUGGACUAUGCGUUUAUUUGGGAGAGAGGAACCCACACCCCUCUCAACCCUAGGAACUUCACCUCCUUUGUAAAUGUGCUAACACCAACAAGUGUCCACCACCAAAGUUGCAAGUGUGUUAGAUUUUCAUAAACAUUUUCACCAAAGGAGUUAAGUUAGCACUUUACUAGAUCCUAAUGCAUAUGCUCAAGAUAUGAACCUAGUAGCACUUGAUUCGAGAGAUGACCGUGAUUUCUCCUCUUGAUAGUCGGCUAUCUAUCCUAAACCCGGUCAAUCACUUCUCUACUCAUCUUAGACCGGCAAAAGUAAAACCCUAUGUUUAUACCUUUGCCUUGAUAACUUUGCUCCUCGUCUAUCACCAUGAUCUCCACUUCAUGCUUCAUCCCUUUAUGAUCGUGUGGCCACCUUUCCAUGCCACUAUGCACCUUCAUGACAUGUGUUGCUAUGCCUAACUCAAAUCACUUAAACACAAGGCAUUAGCAACUUGGUGUCAUUAAUUACCAAAACCAAACUUGGGCUUUCAAUCUCCCCCUUUUUGGUAAUUGAUGACAACCAUCACAAAGAUAUGAAAUGAAAUCAGAAUGAGCUUGAAUUGCUUGUCCAAAGCAUUUUUAUCAAGAGACAAGGUUGGACAAACAUUUCAAUUUCGGUUUUGGUAGUACUAGCUCCCCCUACAUAUGUGCUUCCAUGAGUUUGGUUCAAGUUUGCACAUAUGCAUGAAUUGGAAUUUUGGGAGAUUUAUUACAACCAAAAUGAUGCUAAGGUAUAUAGAAUGGACCUUUGAAGCGUGAUACCAAUCGGAGUUGCCAAUAUACCAUCCUUAGCACCAAUGUAGCUAGACAUACAUCAAAAACUCAAGAUACCUCGUGAGAUCACAUUAUAUGUCUAGAUACCACAUAAAAAUAAAAUUCUAUGCUAGAAUUCAAAACAUCAUUCAAGUUCUAUUUCUAGCAAGCACCAAACAAACAAGAGUCGUGAAUCUAAACUUGCAAUGCAACACCUCAUUAUGUUAGUGCACAUUCAAAUGCAACAAAUGGUUCAUGAGCUUGCUCCCCCUAUUUGUUUUGUGUGCUCAAGUUUAAAGGUGUUUUCUCUUCCUAUCUUUGUUUCUCUUCCCCUUUUUGACUUUAUCUUUGUUUCUCUCCCCCUUUUUGACUUUAUCUUUGUUUCUCUCCCCCUUUGUCAUCAAUGACCACAAAGGUUCAAAUUUUAGUGAGAAUUAAGUCAAUCAAUGUGAGGGUCAAAUUAUGGUUUAAUCUAGAUCAAUUGCCUAAAACAUGUAAUUCGGUUUGAUCCAAGGACAAGCUUUUUCACACCUCAUAAAGUAUAAGGGUUAUCUUGACCAUGGUGAAUUACACAUCAUAAGCUCAUAUUCUAGAUUCAACACUAGGCUUGCAAGCUCACCAACAUGUCAUAUGCUACCACUAGAUCAAGCAAACAUAGAAGCAAUAGUGGUACCAUACAUACAUCAAAACCUUUUGAUGUUCAUGAAUGAGCCUAUUGUCAUGCAAAUAUGUCUAUAUGUUCUAAUCAUGUCCUUAGCAAAGUAUGAAUGCUAUGUCAACCAACUUUACCUUGCUUUGUUGGAGGAGAGGCAUGUCAUAUAGAAAUGUAGGGGUACACUCAUCUCAAGUUGGAGAAGUCAAGUAUGUUCAAUUCAUUCCUCAACUUGCAAAAUCUCUUCUCAUCAAGUGGCUUUGUGAAGAUGUCGGCUAGUUGAUCUUCGGUGCCAAUGCUUUCAAUGCUAAUAUCACCCUUUUGUUGAUGGUCUCUUAUGAAAUGGUGCCUUAUGUCAAUGUGCUUGGUUCUUGAAUGUUGAACCGGAUUUUGUGUCAUCUUGAUUGCACUCUCAUUGUCACAUAGCAAAGGCACAUUCUUGAAUUUGAUUCCAAAGUCAUUCAAGGUUGCUUUCAUCCAAAGCAAUUGUGCACAACAACUACCGGCACUAAUGUAUUCGGCCUCGGCGGUUGAUAGUGCAACACUAUUUUGUUUCUUUGAUGACCAUGAAACUAGAGACCUUCCUAGCAAUUGACAAGUGCCACUUGUGCUCAUUCUAUCAAUCUUGCAUCCACCAUAGUCGGAGUCCGAAUAUCCAAUCAAUUCAAAGUUAGACCCCUUGGGAUACCAUAAUCUAACAUCAUGAGUGCCCUUAAGAUACCUCAAUAUCCUUUUGGUUGCCUUCAAGUGACUCUCCCUUGGCGAAGCUUGAUAUCUUGCACACUUGCACACACUAAACAUCACAUCCGGCCUUGAUGCGGUGACAUAGAGCAAACUUCCAAUCAUGGACCGAUAUAGCUUUUGAUCUACCAUGUUGCCACUUGCAUCACUACCUAAUUGAUCAUUUGUGCCCAUAGGUGUGCUCAUUUGUUUAGCUUCUUGCAACCCAAACUUCUUGAUCAUGUCCUUGAUGUACUUUCCUUGACUUACAAAAGUGCCAUCCUUCAUUUGCUUGAUUUGAAGACCAAGGAAGUAACUAAGCUCUCCUAUCAUGGACAUCUCAAACUCAUUUGCCAUCAUUCUUCCAAAUUCUUCACAAAAGUCUUGAUUGGUUGAUCCAAAGAUGAUAUCAUCAACAUAGAUUUGCAACACAAACAAGUCAUUGCCUAGCUUCUUGGUGAAGAGGGUAGUGUCAACCUUUCCCAUCUUGAACCCUUUAGAGAGAAGGAAAUCUCUCAAUCUCUCAUACCAUGCUCUAGGUGCUUGCUUCAAACCAUACAAUGCCUUCUUGAGCUUGUAAACAUGGUUGGGUUUCUUAUCAUCUUCAAAACCGGGAGGUUGUUCAACAUAAACCAACUCAUUGAUGUAUCCAUUGAGAAAUGCACUCUUCACAUCCAUUGGAUAGAGCUUGAUGUUGUGGGCACAAGCAUAGGCUAAUAAUAUUCUAAUUGCCUCCAAUCUUGCAACCGGUGCAUAUGUUUCUCCAAAGUCAAGACCUUCAACUUGAGUGUAGCCUUGAGCUACUAAUCUUGCUUUGUUUCUCACAACCACACCAUCUUGAUCUUGCUUGUUUCUAAAGACCCACUUGGUACCAAUCACAUUGUAGUUCUUUGGCCUCUCAACAAGCUCCCACACUUGGUUUCUUGUGAAGUUGUUCAAUUCUUCAUGCAUGGCAUUUACCCAAUCGGAAUCCUUCAAUGCAUCUUCUAUUCUCUUUGGUUCUUCAAAUGAGACAAAUGAAUAGUGCUCACAAAAGGAUGCUAGUCUUGAUCUUGUUUGAACACCAUUUUGAAUACCACCAAUGACUUGAUCCAAUGGAUGAUCCCUUGCUAUACUAGUAGGUUGGAGUAUUGGGAGUUGAUUACUUCCACUAGCUUGAUUUUGAUCUUGAUCAUCAUCAUGAGAGCCACUAGUACUUGCUUGAUUUGUGUCAAUUUGCACUUCUUGAUUGAUCAUGUGAAUAUCACUAUCAUCAUCAACUUGCCUUGGCCUUAUGUCACCUACAUCCAUGUUCUUCAUUGCAUUUGCCAAUUGAUCUCCUCUCAUAUCAUCAAGAUUUUGAGCUUCACUUUGAGAUCCCUCGGUUUCAUCAAACUCAACAUCAUGGACUUCUUCCAAUGUGCCACUUGCCAAGUUCCAAACUCUAUAUGCCUUGCUUGUGGUGGAAUAACCAAGUAAAAACCCUUCAUCACAUUUCUUCUCAAACUUGCUCAAUCUAGUGCCUUUCUUGAGAAUGUAGCAUUUGCAACCAAACACUCUAAAGUAUGCAAUGUUGGGCUUUCUUCCAUUCAAUAGCUCAUAUGGUGUCUUCCCAAGCUUCCCAUGGCAAUAGAGACGGUUGCUACAAUAGCAAGCCGUGUUGAUAGCUUCACUCCAAAAUGAAUGGCUAACAUUGUAUUCACUAAGCAUUGAUCUAGCCAUAUCAAUCAAGGUUCUAUUCUUUCUUUCAACUACACCAUUGGAUUGAGGAGUGUAUGUUGGAGAGAAUUGAUGUCCAAUGCCAAGAUCAUCACACAAUUCUUCAAUUCUUGUGUUCUUGAAUUCACUACCAUUGUCACUUCUAAUCUUCUUGAUAGUGGUUUCAAACUCAUUUUGCACCCUCUUGACAAAAGACUUGAAUAGAUCACAAACAUCACUCUUGUCAUAGAGGAAGAACACCCAAGUGUAUCUAGUGUAGUCAUCUACUAUCACAAAUCCAUACUUGUUACCACCAAUGCUAGUGUAUGUUGUUGGCCCAAAUAAAUCCAUGUGCAAUAGCUCAAAUGCCUUUGAUGUGCUCAUUUCACUUUUCUUAGGAUGUGCAUUUCCAACUUGCUUUCCGGCUUGACAAGCACUACAUGGUUUAUCCUUCUCAAAGGUGACAUCCUUCAAGCCUCUAACUAAGUCAUGCCUCAACAGUUUGUUUAAUUGUUUCAUUCCAACAUGACCAAGCCUUCUAUGCCACAACCAACCCAAACUUGAUUUGCUAAUUAGGCAAGAUGUCAAUUGAGGGUCACUAUCAUUGAAAUCAACCAAGUAUAAGCUACCAUGCCUAAAUCCUUUGAAUAUCAAGUUUGAUCCAUCAACACUAACCACCUCAACAUCAUCACUUCCAAAGAUGCACUUGAAACCAAGGUCACAAAGUUGUGCAAUUGACAAGCGAUUGAAAUCAAGGCUCUCAACUAGCAACACAUUUGAUAUGCUCAUGUCAUUUGAGAUAGCAAUUUUACCAAGCCCCUUGACCUUGCCUUUCUUGUUGUUGCCGAAGGUGAUAGAAUCAAAGCCACCAUUUUGACUAGUAUCAAUUGAUUUGAACAUACAAGACUCCCCGGUCAUAUGUUGAGUGCACCCACUAUCAAGCACCCAAUGCCUUCCUCCGGCUUUGUAAUUGACCUACAAGACAAGAUCAAUUCUUUUUAGGUACCCAAACUUGAUUGGGUCCUCCAAGGUUAGCAACUAAGCUCUUUGGUACCCAAAUGGCUUUCUUCUUUGAGCCCAUCCAUGGUGCACCAAUGAACUUAGCAUGAACACCUUUUGUAUCCUUGAUAAGCACAUAGAAAGAAUUUAGCUUAAUUGAGGAUACAUGAGCUUUGGGUUUCUUGUUCAUGCAUUGUUGCUCUAGGUGACCAACUUGCUUGCAAGCUUUGCAAUAUCGGCCAUUGUUCUUCACAAAACUAGUCUUGUGAGGAGCAAAAGCGGCUUUGCCUUUCUUGGGGUUAUAGCCCAAUCCCUCUUUGUAGAGAGAAGCUCUUUGGCUACCCAAGCACAUAAGCAAGCGGUCCUCACCACCAUAAGCCUUGGCUAAGGUGUGAUUGAGCUCUUUCACCUCCUUCUUGAGAAUUUCAUUCUCAACUUUUAGUGUGGUGUCACAAGUGAAACCAUCACUACUAGAUGAGGAUGAUGUAGAUGUGCUACAUGAAGGGUUAGUAGAAGCAACAACAAUAGGCUUACUUAAGAUAUCACAUGUUAGGCCUAUGUUGCAAGUUUUAGUUUUCUCCAUUUUAGUUGGCUCAUUUUCACAUUUGUUAACUAGAGAGGAAUGAGCUUCUUCAAGCUUAGUGUGAGCUUUUUGAAGCUUCUUAUGGUCUUCCUUUAGACUCUCAUAAGAUGCUCUAAGCUCAUCAAGUUCUUGCUCAAGGGUUUUCUUAUCCUUAAGCAAGGCCUUGCACUCCUUUCUAGUUUCUUUAUAGUGAUGAGUGCAAUCUUCUAGCAUAGUGAUUAGUUCAUCUUUAGUUGGUUCAUCAUCAUCACUAUUGUUGACGGUCCUUAAGCAUCAAAUUUAAUUAUCAAAUAAACAAAGAAAAGGAUCCAAAUGAAAUCAACAUCUAGACUUAGGGUUUUAUCUGACAGAAUUCCACGAGUUUUGGUGUUUGUCUAUUUCUGCAGGGGGUUAUCAGAAAAUAAGGAAGAAAGGCCCACAUGUCGGGAUUACAUAGAGAUAUCAACCCACCGCGCAAUUUUCUACCAUCUAGAAGACUCCAGAAGCCACGGGAAGGAAGCGGAGCCCGAAAGGGGCCAGGCCCAGGGCGCCCGCCCUGAGGACCUGGGCGCCCGCCCCCCUCUGGACUCCGUUCCGGACUCUCUUCGCACACGACGUUCCACCGACCUAUUGGAUCCAGAAUAACAUAGUACCACCUCGCCUAUCGACCCAAAAACGCAUAGAAGGGGAGGACUAUAUAAGGAGACCCCCUCUGGCCUCUAGAGGAGACAAGAAAUUAUCAUAGAGAUUGAGGGGUGCCCUCGAAGGAAAACCUCUUCUCUAAAUAAUAUUUCUUUUUAGGCUUAGCAACCAAUGUAAAGUAGAAAUAGAUCUUCUAGUUUCUACUAGAUUGAGAGAGAUAGAGUGGAGGUGUGGAUCGGAGGAAGGCCGGCCUGUCAGUGUCUACUCCGAGUUGUACCUGCGGGAUCAAGUCUCCUAACCCGAGGCUUGCUUCUAAGAUUCUUCAGUAAUUCGACUUCUAAUACUAGUAAGUUCUUGUUUUUAUUGUUCUUUGGUUUAUGAGUUUACUUUAAUCCUCUUCCGGUUGAGUAUUAGAGUAAUCACUUGUUAGCGUAAACGUGGUGUUUAGGCUAGGGUAUUCAUAGAUAUCCCCUGACUAGCUGGACCGUGGUAGUAGCGAGGAACGUGACAUUUCCGAGUUACCUUUGUAGAUCACAUCUCGUUAGCAGGACGGGUAGGUUUAUAGGUGCGGGUCGAACAUCCUUUGUGUUGUCUAGAUUCCGUGAGCCUCCCCAAUAGAACAGUAGAUCAUCCUUACCAAGGUUAGAACGAGACUAUGGUUGCAGUCUUCUCUAUACAUCACUCACAUCGAGAGACAUUCUUUGUAGCCUAAAGGGAUAGUAGCCUAGAUUUGGUUAGUCAGAUGCACCCUUUCUCCCAGUGGUAAAAAUAUAAAUACGAUAACUCUGGAUAACCUCCCGGGUGAAAUGCUCACCGAUAUCUGUGCGCUUGCGGAUCAUUUUCUAAUUGCGUUACCAAAUAUCAACAAGCAUUUCUGGCGCCGUUGCCGGGGAGAAAGACGGUUUGCUGAGAUAACUUUGAGUCUUGCUAUUAUCUUGUAUUAUACUUUUAUACUUUUAUUCUUUUAUCUUUUUAUUUUGUCUAUCUUAAAUUCCAUACCUAUUAUUGAACUCUUUGCACCUUCAGAGACCAGCCAUAGACCAUGGGUGUCAACACGUCCUGCCCCUAAUUAUGAUCUGUGUUCGGAGUUGAUUGCAAUAGGUCAAAACCAACCCUUUUCUAUAGCUGAGGUCCUAUCUUUUAAUCAAGAAGAUAAUGCACUUUUAGCUACACCUAGGGAAUCUGUUAAUCUUUCUAUAAAUUCUGGUUUAGACCUAGCCCUACAAGACCAUGUUUUUCCUAAAUAUUUUCACAUUGGUUUUAAUCAUAUAACCUUUGGUAGAGUCAUUCUUUCUUUAUCUAUUAGUAAAGGAAGGUAUGUCUUCAUUUGUGGACAUCCUUCUUGUACUAGCCUUCAUAGAAUAAUCUUAGAGAUAGAGAAGGAAUCAUCUCCCAGACGAGGAAAGGAAGUUUCAAUAGCCGAUUUCCAAACAUUUCAAUCCCAUGAUUCGGCUAUCCAUCCCAUCCUUGAGCUUAAUAGUUUCUACUAUGCUCUUCCUUUUGAACCUCCCGAUAAUCCUAUGAAUCUUUCUAGACAUCCCAUGCAUAAGAAGGAGGAUCGAGAAGAGCAACAUCAAUGGCUAGAGGGCAUUAAAAAUCCAUGUGCUAUCACCAUUGAAUGGAUAGAUAAAACAAACUUGAGAGACAAUCCUAGAGGAAUUUUAAUCAUUCAUGAAGAAUCAUCCUUGGAGUUUGAGAAUGAGAGAAACAACAGUGAGCAUGGAAGUUAUUUCAUAAAUACCUCACCCAGUCCUUGCUCAUAUAAAACAUCUCUCCAAUCAAUUUGUCUCUCCAUCCUUACCACAUUUGAGAUCUCCAACCCCCUCUUCUUUUCUAUUUAUAAAAACUUUAAAAGGGCAGUUGUCGAUGCAUAUGUCUAUAAUAAAUAUUGCAGAUCUCGUUGAGUUAAUUGAUGGUUCCCCAAGGACAAGCUUAGUGUCCUAAAACAAGCACUUCUAAUUAUUUGCAACAUUGCCUUGUGUAUUGAGCAUAUAAAGAUAAUUGUAGAAAUAUUCCUUCGGGUAUUCUUGCCACUAACCUCUCUAGGAUUGGAGCAAGAAGAUCGGAUGAAUGACAAGCGCAAGGUAUGCCCAACCAAUCAUCAUGCAACAUUAAAUUAAAUUCAUCCAAUCUUGAAUUUUGCAAAAUUCAAGCUUGGGGGAGUACUUUACAUAAAACAUCCUUUGCCAUGUUGCUAUGUUGGUUGUCCUUACCUUUGAGACAUGCUCAAUUUGUUAAAUACUAAUCACACUACUUCAUCUCCACUUGAGUAGAUCUCUAUAAAAGCCAUCAUGCUACCUUUGUUUAUCCUAGUAAGUGUUAGUUUGGAAGUACUGGUCACACUUCCAAUGGCAUUUAAAUUAAGCGUGGUGCUUAUGUUAAAUAGCCUUCCUUAAUCUGAUUAGACAUGGAGUCUAGUUUGGUUACUGAACUAAAAACUGCUUGAGUAGAUAUUGGUAUAUUUUGUUGGACUAACCCCUGUAGGAAAACUUUCAAUAUCAACCUGGGAAGUCCUGAGAUGCAAACUCAUUAGAGAUGAAGAAAGUGACACAUGAAGUUUAACAAUUUGCACAAGAAAGACGUAGCUCAUAAGAGAUGAUUCAUGGAGGGUGCCACAAACACGAUGCACAACCGCUAAGAAAGGAAAGCUUCCACAAGGUGAUACUGUACCAUCACUCUUCAAGUAAGGUAACAUCUUAAGGUACUUGACUAACACUUUUAUAAGCUCCUCCUUGGUUCUGGCAUUCACAUAAAUAAAGAGACAAACAUGUAUGAUUUAUAACUCCAAAUUAACCAACUCAAUUAAUUCAACAUGUUUAGUCCUUUAAUCUUUGUUCUUAGUACUACCUUCGUGACCCCACACUCCUAAUCAUAUAAGCUAAAGUAUUGCACAUGUAAUCUUUGGAAGAUAUAAACAAAACAUAAAUAUAGAUAGAUUAUCUUUCCAUUAGGUUGAGCCAUCUGAUCUGACAAAUGCUACACUCAUGAUCCAUCAAUUUUGUCUUGCUCACUAUGCUUAAGGUUAGAGAAGAACAAAUACACUUUUGGUUCUGUUGGUGUUUUCCACCAACAGGGCCCAUGCACUUGAUCUCUACCUUGUCUCUAUGAGCAGGAACACUUCGAGCAUAAUAUGAAGGAGUUUUACAACUCCCAGAUUCCACCAAGUGAAGAACUAGGAUCUACGAGCACAAACACACUGGAGAUACUGGACGCUCAGGCAAUCACUGCCCUAAGAUGCUUGAGGACGUGAACUACAUCAACAACAAUAACAACUAUUACUACAACCGUCCUCAACAACAUCAAGGUUGGAAUCAACAGAGGCCUAAUUACUCAGAGAGGUGAUCUAGGACGCCGCGUCAUCCCGAUCUCCAUCGGCAUGGUGGACUUCCCAGAAGCACUCUGCGACUUUGGCUCCAGCGUCAACAUUAUGCCCAGGGUUGCAGAUCGGACACUCAGUUUUCCAAAGGAAAUAUUGAAGAACCUCUGCGUCCGAGUUGGUACCUUGUAUGCUCUAGCAGACUUCAUGGUGAUAGAGACUGGUACUGAGGAGAGGGCACCCAUCAUUUUAGGGAGGCCAUUCCUAAACACUAGAGGUGUCAUCUACGCUAAUGCUGCCAAGAUCAGUCUCUACAUCAAGGGGAAGAAGGAGACUUUCCUUCAAGAACAAGACUACACAAACUUCAGAGCAACCCCGACAUGAACCAAGGAAGAGGACCAACAGGAGGAACAGGAACAAGCAAAUAUGGACCGAGUCAGCUAAGAUGGUCACUGCAGUUCAAGGAGGUCAAGAUCGUCGACUCAAGUCACCUUUCUUGAUCAAGAAGGAGGACCCUGGUGUUCUAAGCAUUGAGUGCACAAUCAACAGAUACUCUUUUCAAAAGACACUCUACGACACCGGAUCUGACGUCAACAUAAUGGCCGUAGUCACUUAUCAGCUCCUGCAUGAAACCAUGCCCCUACAACCAAUAUACAUUCAGCUAUAGAUGACUUUCAAGUUAUUGACAUGGGAGAAGAUGAAUAUGAUCCACCCACCAUCCUUGGAAGACAGUUCCUCAGCACUAUCAAAGCCAUCAUCUAUAUUGGAACCGGAGAAGUCCACAUACACUUCUCCUCUGAGAAGGUAUGCCGCUGUUUUACUGACCCUAACUAUAUAGUUGAAGACUCUAAGCAGGUCAGGACAAGAAGAAGACAACGCAACCGCAACCACAGGAGGCAAAUCAUCAAGGACGGAUGGGUAGACUACGAAGGAGAAAUGAUAAGGACUGAAGACAUACCACUUGAACAUAACUGUCCUGAGGAGACCGUAGCACCGAGUUAGGUGUGGAGAGAGAAGAUAGUUAUAAAUGAAGAGGAGGCGCUGCCGGAAGUACCGACUACGCCACCCAACGAACCUCAGGACGAUUAAGAAAAUGGAGAGUCCCGCUCGGAGGACUUAAAAACACCGAACGCCUUGCCAAGAGGUAAACUUGGUAGUUAUCCUUUCCCUUUUAAUUAUUUCAAAUAGAUUACUUAGUUAAUCAUGUUCGUAUCAUCCUAGAAAGAAAAUAAAAAUGUGAAAAAAACUGUAAGCCCCAUGUGAGUAGACGAGUGGCAUAAAACCCAUAAGUACAUUCACUGUGGUGGCAUAAAAAUAAAAUAAAUGUUUUUCUGCUUUAUAAAAACAAAAAUAUAAAAACAGGGAGUAAUAUUUAUUAAGGAGUCUCAACAUGAUAAAGGCUAGAUAUUUAUGCUAACACUUAAUCAGUUCCACAAGCUUUGUUGUCUAUUUGAGCUCCACAGAAUUUAAGAAUCAAGAAGACUAGCAGACGCAGGACAUUCUAAUCGCUGUCAAAAUACUGCUGACUUUCAAACACACCUCUACCACCUAGCUACAUCAAGAGAAAUUACGUCAAAAAUCCAGCUUGGGGGAGAGCACCCCCAUUUAUCUCGAUAAGUAUUUCUAUCUAUCUUUAUACUUAUACUAUAUUAGAAUAUAAAUACACAUAACUAUGAAAAACCAAAUAAAGAUUUUAUGAUUAUAUAUAUAUUGCUUAGUGUGUUUAAUAAAUAAAUAAAGUGGCUAUGCUAAUCUGUAUCUAAUAAAACUUAAGCAUGGAUAUGAUGAAUAGUUGCUCUGCCUAAUUUGCAAAUUUGAAAUUCUCUCUCAAGUUUAGAUAUAACUGUUAUAAUUUAAGGCUUGCUCUAGACCUAAACUUGUGGGAUCAAAACUUGAUCUGAAGUCUAAGUUGUUAACAGAUACGAUAUGGGAAGGUUGAGCUGCUGUUCAUCUGUUCCUAGAGAUGCUAGAAUUCUGGAGAAUUUUAUCUUUGAAAAAUCUUUAAAAUAACACAUGAUGAGUUCCUGUAUGAUGAGAGUUUAAAUUCCUACCACAGCCAUAUAUACAUGCUUGCUAGACCUUGAGCCACACAUUUACUAUUUACUGCUUAUGAGCAUUGAGUGUGAUCAAGCUGUGUAGACCCUUAGGAGCUUGUCAUGUGGUUAAAUCAAGAUUCACUUGCACGUUCACUCAUACAUGCUACUUCUACUCCGGAAGUACCAUCCACAUAUAUCCACUCAUUUCCAUCUCCAAAACCACCCAAAAGUAUUCUACUCCUAAUCCGGGAGAGAAUAACCAAAAAUAUUUCUGUUUCCCCUUGUGAAAUAAAUGCUCAAGUUAUCUUGUUACUACCACUUGCUAUAUUAUCUCAAGAGAUGAAUGCUCUAAAAAAAAGAGAGAAAAAGAAAAUAAAAGAUACGAGGAAAUAAAAAGGAGCAAGUGCUCGGAACCUCGAAAGAAAAGAAAACGAAGAGCAUCUCAUUCUCCUCAUAAAGUUUCAAAAGCAAGGAAGGUAUGUAUCCCCUCAAAGAGCAAAGUAGAAUUAGGCUUCCACCACCAUUGUUAUCACCAUCAUCACCAUACACCAUUCAUUCGCCACACAUGCACAUCUUGAUUUGGCUUAUUGAUUUGUUUCUUUGGAUCCAUGGUUUGACUAUGCAAUAAAUGUCUUGUAAGUAUGUAUACUUUAUCUCCCACCUAUGAGCUCCAGAUAUUAAAGCCUUAUUAGAGUAGGGUGAGAGAGAAGACAAUGACACUAUGCUUCAUACCACAAAUACUACAUAUUUUGAGAGAAGGCAUAUACCAUCACUGCCUUGGUAAGGAUCCAAAAAUACCACAAAAGAGAGAUCUGAGAGAGUCAUAUAAGGAAUCUCUGAGUUUUAUUUGAAAAUCUACAAAAACCCCAGAGCUAUAGCUGAUCAAGAAUAAGAGACAUGGCACUUGGCUAGACUGUUCUAUCUUUUAACCACUCAAGACAGAAGUGACGGUUACAAGUCCUAUGAUGUAGGUAAAGUAAGUAAGUUUUAAGUCUUAACAGUUUAUUCUAACUCAGAGAUGAGAUCUUGUUUAAAUGCGUGUGUACUUCUAAGAAAUGAAACCACUGCAGAAACUCUUGAGUUCAUCCUUGCUCAGGGACGAGCAAGAGGUAAGCUUGGGGGAGUUUGUUGACGGUCCUUAAGCAUCAAAUUUAAUUAUCAAAUAAACAAAGAAAAGGAUCCAAAUGAAAUCAACAUCUAGACUUAGGGUUUUAUCUGACAGAAUUCCACGAGUUUUGGUGUUUGUCUAUUUCUGCAGGGGGUUAUCAGGAAAUAAGGAAGAAAGGCCCACAUGUCGGGAUUACAUAGAGAUAUUAACCCACCGCGCAAUUUUCUACCAUCUAGAAGACUCCAGAAGCCACGGGAAGGAAGCGGAGCCCGAAAGGGGCCAGGCCCAGGGCGCCCGCCCUGAGGACCUGGGCGCCCGCCCCCCUCUGGACUCCGUUCCGGACUCUCUUCGCACACGACGUUCCACCGACCUAUUGGAUCCAGAAUAACAUAGUACCACCUCGCCUAUCGACCCAAAAACGCAUAGAAGGGGAGGACUAUAUAAGGAGACCCCCUCUGGCCCCUAGAGGAGACAAGAAAUUAUCAUAGAGAUUGAGGGGUGCCCUCGAAGGAAAACCUCUUCUCUAAAUAAUAUUUCUUUUUAGGCUUAGCAACCAAUGUAAAGUAGAAAUAGAUCUUCUAGUUUCUACUAGAUUGAGAGAGAUAGAGUGGAGGUGUGGAUCGGAGGAAGGCCGGCCUGUCGGUGUCUACUCCGAGUUGUACCUGCGGGAUCAAGUCUCCUAACCCGAGGCUUGCUUCUAAGAUUCUUCAGUAAUUCGACUUCUAAUACUAGUAAGUUCUUGUUUUAUUGUUCUUUGGUUUAUGAGUUUACUUUAAUCCUCUUCCGGUUGAGUAUUAGAGUAAUCACUUGUUAGCGUAAACGUGGUGUUUAGGCUAGGGUACUCAUAGAUAUCCCCUGACUACCUGGACCGUGGUAGUAGCGAGGAACGUGACAUUUCCGAGUUACCUUUGUAGAUCACAUCUCGUUAGCAGGACGGGUAGGUUUAUAGGUGCGGGUCGAACAUCCUUUGUGUUGUCUAGAUUCCGUGAGCCUCCCCAAUAGAACAGUAGAUCAUCCUUACCAAGGUUAGAACGAGACUACGGUUGCAGUCUUCUCUAUACAUCACUCACAUCGAGAGACAUUCUUUGUAGCCUAAAGGGAUAGUAGCCUAGAUUUGGUUAGUCAGAUGCACCCUUUCUCCCAGUGGUAAAAAUAUAAAUACGAUAACUCUGGAUAACCUCCCGGGUGAAAUGCUCACCGAUAUCCGUGCGCUUGCGGAUCAUUUUCUAUUUGCGUUACCAAAUAUCAACAACUAUCACUAUCACUAUCAUGGUCACUCUCAUCAUCGGAUGAUACCUUAGUGGCCUUAGCCAUGAAGCAUGAUGGAGUGUCAAAGAUGGAGCUCUUUCCUUGAAUUGCAAUGCUAGCAUGCCCCUUCUUGUUGCUCUCAUCAUCACUUGAGGAGUCAUCACUAUCCCAAGUUGCAACAUGGGCAUCACCCUUUUUCUUGUUUGAGCCUUCCUUCUUUUCUUGCUUCUUCUUUUGCUUCUUUCUUUCCUUCUUGAUAGCAUCUUCAUCAUCACUAUCAUAAGGACACUUGGCGAUGAGAUGAUCCUUGCUAUGGCAUCUAAAGCACCUCAUGGAAUGGUCAUUCUUCUUGGAGGAGCUCUUCUUUCUUCUUGCCGGAUACCCCUUCUUCUUCAUAAACUUGCCAAAUCUUUUGACAAGAAGAGCCAUCUCCUCAUCUUCAUCGCUAUCACAAGAACUUGCUUCUUCUUCACUUGAUGACUCUAUCUUGGCUUUUCCCUUGGAUGAGGAGGCCUUGAAUGCCACACUCUUCUUCUUCUCAUCAUCCUUCUUCUCACCAUCCUUCUUCUUUUUCUUGAUCAAUUCAUCCUUCUCAUCAUCUUCUCUAUAAGCAUCAUCGGUCAUCACUUCUUGGAAGACUUGUUGGGGAGUUGAUUCACUAAGUGUUGUCUUGACUACUACGGUGAUCAAUGUGUCAAAUCUCUUGGGCAAGCUUCUCAAGAACUUCAUAGAGAAUUGACUAUCCUUCACUUCUUCCCCAAGUGCCUUGAGCUCAUUCACAAUAACUUGCAACCGGUGAAACAUUUCCGGCACACUUUCAUCUUCUUGCAUCUUGAAGCUUGAGAACUUCUCUUGGAGGAUGUAAGCUUUUGCAGUCUUAGUACCUUUGGUGCCUUCAAAUGUUUCUUCUAAUUUUGCCCAUGCAUCAUGAGCAACCUCAAUGUUCUUGAUUUGCUCAAAGGUCUUGUCAUCAAGAGCUUCAUGAAGAGCACUAAUUGCAAUGUCAUUGCAUUGAAGCUUCUUUUCUUCAACUGGUGUAGGUGCAUUCUCAUUUGCAACCUCAAACUUUGUUUCGGUCACCUUCCAAACUUCUCUAUUGAUUGACUUGAGAUGGGCGGUCAUCUUGACCUUCCAAUAAGCAUAAUUGGUGCCAUCAAAGUAAGGUGCCUUCUUAGUGUUGUUGAUAUGCAAACUAAGAGCCAUUUCUUCACCGUAGGUUGUUAAGCCUCAAAUAAACGGUGCCUCGGCUCCGAUACCACUUGAAAGGUCCAAAUGGCUAGAGGGGGGGUGAAUAGCAGCAUAUUCUCCAAUUACAAUCUACCGACUCAAACCCUAAUCCCAGCAUAUUCUCCAAUUACAAUCUACCGACUCCAAGUCACUCGCGUAAUUUCGCAUUACAAAGACCACGCGUGCCCCCUGUCUAGGGCUUCAGCCGGUCGGAGGCUUGGAUCCUCCGCCCAGUCGCGGAUCCUUCGACACUUCAUGUGUCGGAGGUUCCUUAGCUCGGACGCGCCGGGGGUUCCUCGGCUCAGCUGUCCUGGAGGUUCCUUGGCUCGCCCGGUCGCCGAUCCUUCGACGCGUCUCCGUCGGAGGUUCUGAAAGGUCCAAAUGGCUAGAGGGGGGUGAAUAGCCUAUUUAAAUUUUCUACAAACUUCAACUAGACAAGUUGAUUAGUAAAACAAAAGGCGAAGCUAUUCUAGCACUAGCACAACUAAGCUAUGCAAGCCACCUAAACAAGUCUAGUACAAGGCUAAACACUAAAGCACUACAACAAGAGAAGGCUAGUUACACUCCUAAACAAGAAGACUAAACUAAACAAGCUAAACAACUAGCAAGGUAUACAAGUAAGUAAAGGAGUGGAGAGUGAUUGUUAUACCAACGUUGUAGAGUAGAGAUAUAACCAACCAAUCACUCACAAUUACAAGAGAAUCCUCGGCAAGAGAUGACACAAGAUUUUUUACCGAGGUUCACUUGCUUCCCGGCAAGCUACUCCUCGUUGUGGCGAUACACCCACUUGAUGGAUCACGAGCUAAUUGGCAAUCCAAAGCCAAACCCUCAGCAGGUGCCGCACAUCCACUCACAAGAUGGGGAUCCUCCAAGCCACGAGCAAUCCACUAGAGUAGCCAAUUGCGAUCUCCCGCGGGGAAGGCUCAAGAACCCCUCACAAAUCACUUGGUGAGGCUCGAAACAAUCUCCAAUCACGAGCUCCACACCACCGCUGCUCCAAGCCGUCUAGGGCGUCGGGAAACACCUAAGAGUAACAAGAAAUCCGCAGCAAACUCAAGAAUCAAGUGCCACUAAAUGCAACUCUCAAAGCAAUGCACUUGAAUCUCACUCAAUCUCACUAGGAUGAGCAAUCAAGCAAGGAGAUGAGUGGAGGGAGUGUUCUCUAGCUCAAUGUAUGCCUCAAGUAUUCAAAAUGUGCAAGAGAGAACCUCCCAAAGCUGGCCACCAACUAUUUAUAAGCCACCUCAAAGAAAUAGCCGUUGGCUGUUUUUCACUGGGUUGAAAACGGGGGCACCGCACGCUACUAAGUGAGCACCGGACGCUCGACCCCCUACGUCCGGUGCACUGGAGUUGGCCACGUGUCCUCUUUGAAUCUCGCGCGUCAGUUUCUAACGGCUACCUGCAACACACCGGACGCUCUGCAAGUCCACACCGGACGGUCCGGUGCUCACCGGACUCGUGCGCAGAGAGGGUGUCAAACUCGCGACCUCACCGGACGCUGGGCACCGGACGGUCCGGUGCUCACCGGACUCGUGCGCAGAGAGGGUUGCAAAAACCCCUCACACCGGACGCUCUCAGAGUGCGUCCGGUGCUUAACCCUAGCAGGGUCAAGCACACCGGACGCUGAGGCCAGCGUCCGGUGCCUCCGUACUCAGCGUCCGGUGAGUGUUUCUCACUAAGAAAACACUCCCGCGACUCCUCUAAAUUUCCCACCGGCGCAAUAGAAAAUAUAUACUUAUUUUUCUCAAAAGCGCCGAAUCUCGCCUCGCAAGCUCGGCGGGAGGAAGAGAGGAACCCACACCCCUCUCAACCCUAGGAACUUCACCUCCUUCAACCCUAAGGAGUUUUCUUCCGUCCGGCGGGAAAUUGAGUCCCUGAGAAAGGAAAGAGAUGAUUACAAGGCUGGGUCGGAGGUCUUGAAGAAGGAGAAAGAAGAUGACGAAGCUUCGGCGGCUGUCCUCCGCACGAAUGUCACUGAGGCGGGGAGAGCUAGGGAUUUGGCCCUACAGCGAGCCGAGAAGGCGGAGGACAUUGCUGACCGCCUUCGCAAGGAGCUUGAUGCUGAGCGGAUGUCUGCGGCUGAGCUGCAGACGCGCAUGCAGAAGGCGGAAGCGGAGGCUGCAGCUAUUGUUGGGCUCUAUGCCGACUCGCUGGCGCAGUUUGGGGGAAGCACCUCUGCUCCUCCGCCCAACGGCGACGCUGGGGCUGGCCUCGCAUGGCUGAAGUCUCAUAUCCGUAUGCUCCCUGACUUUGUCGGGGGUGCUGUUGAUUUUGGGGCUUUGGCCGCGGUUAGCUCCUUUGCUAAGCUGUUGCGUCGUGGAGGUUGCUCCCACGCGGAGGGAGUUGCCAAGGAGGAGUUCGCGUCUGCGGAGGAUGUUGGCGAGGGCACCUCGAGCCUGCGCAAAUCUGUCCGGAACUUCAUUAGUUCGUUCUGGAUUAGGUUUGGGCGGGCUGAGGCGAAGAAGAUGGCGGAAGCUCGUCGCGCUGAGGUAUUCUUUGUCUUGGUUUUUCUUUUUGUAUUCUGUUUUGCUGCUUUGCAAUGUUUCUUAAGCUUGUUGAUUUGCAGGAGAUUGCCAAGAGGGCGGCUAAGGUUGACAAGCCCGGUCCUUCGCGUCCCCCUAGCGAAGCGCGUCCUUCGACUCAGGCUGAGGCGAAGGUUCGUGACGCAAGUGUUAAGGCUCCAGAGGAAUCUGGUGCCAAGGAUUCGGCGCAGCCCGAGACUUCUGCCCCUCCUCCGCCUCAGGUGUGAGGCUUUUUAGUUUGUAGGUUUUUUCUUAGCUUUUUUGCGUCUGUAUGUGUGACGCUUUUUGUAAGUAAGGCCGAAGGUUCUGAUUAAUUUGUAAAGACUAUUGAAAAAUGUAAUAUAAAGAGUUGUUUUUGGAUAAGCCAUUUUUUACACUUUGAUCCUGCGCAGGUCUCUGGCGGAGGACCUGCGCAGGAUCUUAGCGAAACUCUGCUUUCAAUUUUCUAUAAAGGAAUUUAUGUUUCUGGCGAGUUGUGGGAGUACUGGCGGAUUGCCUUCCCCAAUAUGAGAGUGGUGGAUAUGUUUGAGUUUGUUGGAUACGACCUGGAUGACGAACGAUCUGAAUUCGUCCGGUCGCUUGCGCGCCGAGGUUCAUGGCCUCCGGCUUAGGUUGUUGUUUUUGUCUUGUUUUUCGCUUAUCGUGGACUAUGCGUUUAUUUGGGAGAGAGGAACCCACACCCCUCUCAACCCUAGGAACUUCACCUCCUUUGUAAAUGUGCUAACACCAACAAGUGUCCACCACCAAAGUUGCAAGUGUGUUAGAUUUUCACAAACAUUUUCACCAAAGGAGUUAAGUUAGCACUUUACUAGAUCCUAAUGCAUAUGCUCAAGAUAUGAACCUAGUAGCACUUGAUUCGAGAGAUGACCGUGAUUUCUCCUCUUGAUAGUCGGCUAUCUAUCCUAAACCCGGUCAAUCACUUCUCUACUCAUCUUAGACCGGCAAAAGUAAAACCCUAUGUUUAUACCUUUGCCUUGAUAACUUUGCUCCUCGUCUAUCACCAUGAUCUCCACUUCAUGCUUCAUCCCUUUAUGAUCGUGUGGCCACCUUUCCAUGCCACUAUGCACCUUCAUGACAUGUGUUGCUAUGCCUAACUCAAAUCACUUAAACACAAGGCAUUAGCAACUUGGUGUCAUUAAUUACCAAAACCAAACUUGGGCUUUCAGGUUCCCUGACUUGACGCGUCGGAGGUCCCUCGCCUCCGCCGCGUCCUCAACCAUCCUCAGACUUGAGAGGGCCGGAGGUUACUCUCUUCCUUGCUUGUGGGCCUCCGCUGGUGCAGUCCCUGCACGCACUUAGCACGACAAGACGAGUCAUCAAUAUUAGUCUUUUUUCAGGGUCCUCCGCACGCAACUCCACGAAGGUUCCCUGGGUGGAGGAUAUCCUCCGACACUUCAGAGGUCGGAGGUUCCUUGGCUUGAAGGGCAUCCUUAGACGCUGCCAGGGGGAAGGGUGCGGCCAUCCCCCAACAGUUCCCCCCUUUUUGGGCUAAUGGCACUCCUGCGGUCCAUGUGCUCAAAAACAUGCCACGCUGCGGAGGCUACGAGCAUGGUUGCUGCCUUCCCCCCUGGCGCGCAGGAUGUGCUUGUUAGCAUUGUUGGAAAAAUGUUUCUUUUCCUUAGUCAUAAUUUUCUUCGUUUGUUUGUUUUGCCAGGAUCCUCCGGUCAUUACUGUUCUGAUAUCCUGUUAUCCUUCGCGAUUUAUAUUGCGGAGGUUAUUAUAGUCGUUGGAGUUAGCCGUUGGUGCUGGGGAAUCGCAACGGUCAGGCCGAAUCCUCCGCUUUUAGCUGUUGGGAGCGGGGAAUCGCAACGGUCACGCGGUCGCAGGCCCCCCCUAUAAAAGGGAAUGCUGGGGAGCCUUGAGCUCUCACCCCUGCCUCUCAUUGCUUGCACACUUUCCUUCGCCACAUCUUCCUCUCUGAGCUGCUCGUGCGCGUUUUUGUUGUGUUUAGUUCCUAAGUGUUGUCGGAGGAUUUAUGGUGGCUCAUCUUCCUCCGCCGCGUCCUUCGAGGUCAGAUUUUUCUGGUCCUUUGCGCAAUUUUCUUAGUGUGAGGUCUGGAGGUUGGCUGCGAAGGUUUGAGGAGUGGAUGCUUGAGGUGGCUGCAGCUCAAGACCUGGAGGAGACGCUGUCUGACGUUGAAGCUUCCGUUGGUGAUUUGAUUAGUGCGAAGGAAUUUGAGGAGAUGGCUUCGAUCACUUUUGAAUUUGGGGAGUCGACUGUGAGGGAGGAGGAUAUUGCCGAUAUGGUCGAGGCUAGGUUUUUCAAGGCGGGUCGAGCGAAGGCUCCACCUGCGGGUCAGACAGUACCUGCGUCUGAAGAGGGUUAUGCGGUGGUUUUCAGGGAUAUCUUCACCUGCGGACUUCGGAUGCCUCCGUAUCAUUUCCUUCGCGAAGUGAUGGAGAGUUUCAACGUGGAGCUGCAGCAUUUCAGCCCCAAUGGGAUACUGACCCUUAGCAAAUUUGCCUGGGCGUGUGAAUCAUACGGAGCUGCGCCUCACGUAGAUACUUUUUGCUCGUAUUUUGAACUCCAGCGCCAGCCUAAGAAGGUGAAGGAUGCCGAAGGAGUUGAACAUAUAGCGCAGUUUGGAAGCUGCGCGUUCAUGCCGCGCCGCACAAUGCCUGGGUCUAGGUGCGAGAUCUCCUACUGCCAGAAGGGCAAGUGGGAGAAGGAUUGGAUGAGGGCCUGGUUCUACGUGAAGACCUCCGCCGCGUCGAGGACUCUGGAGGACAGCAGUGUUGAUAAGGUGUAUCCUUAUGCGUCUGAGAUGAAGUCGCUUAGGCCUAUCCACAAGGUUGACCCUUCGAAUCCGGUUUCGGAGGAGCAGCUGGAGGCGCGACUGGCAUGCGACAAGGCCUUUGCUCUAGCCUGCCGAUACUCCAGAGGUCGGGAUUUAGUUGAGGAGAUGGUCGCAGCUGAUUACUGGCCCCUUGGCCGCAGGACUGACGAAUUCACCAUUGAAAUGGUGCAAGUGCCGGUCUUUGGCCCUCCGGAGGGAUUGCCGUUUCCCCGGUUUGGAGCAGGUUUGCCGGAGGAUGAGACUAAGGAGUCCUUCCUUGACCGCGUGGAGGUUUCUGCUCGGAGGAUUGUCGGGAAGAUCUCGGAGAAGGAGUAUCUCCAGCGGAGGUCUGCACUUGGUACGAUGCCUCGCUUCAACCGAGUGUUUGAGGAAUUGGGGAUUGAGUAUGAGGAUUAUGUUAUUCCUCCGGAUGUUUUGUUGGGAUUGGAGAAGAAGAAGGAUUCAUCCAAGGCCGUUGCUGCGGCGGAGGCUAAGAAGAGGAAGAGUGGUGGUGCUGUCAAGCAACUUGCGAAGAAGCGCAAGGCGGAGGUUGUGCUGGAGACUCCUGUGGAGUCUUCCUCCGCCCGCUCUUCUGCUGCCGAGUCUAACUCGGUGGCUUCUAUUCCUGCGGAGGCUGCUCCUGCUGGUGGAGUUCCUGAGGUUGAAGCCUCACGCGCGGUCUCUUCUGUACGCGCGCCUUUCGCGUCCCUUCUUGGGGAGGAGUCUUCCGACGCGGAGGCCCCUGAGGCGAGUCCUGCGCGGGAGGCAAAUCCUGCGGUGGCUGAGAGUCCUGCGCGGGAGGCUUUAGCUGGAGGAGGAUCUCCGCCGAAGGAUGGGCGGGAGGAAUCCAGUGAUGAUGCAGAGUCUGUCUCUGUUCGGAGGAUUAAGAGGGCGGAGGAUAUCUCGCGUCCGGCUGGAGAUGGUAUAAACUCGUUGUACAUGGGUAAAUUUUUUUUGUUGAUUCUUGUUUUUCUGUAUAUUAUUAUUUUUUGAUUGACUUGGUCUCAUGUUAUUUUUAUAUUUUUCAGAGGAUGUUUUUGCUGGGUUGGCUACCGCGGAGGAGUUGGCUAAAGGUGCCAGCGUUGUGCAGGAAGGACUUGCUGUUCCUCCGCGGCGCGAGCCUAUGCCUUCUGCGUUGGCCAGCAGACCUUCCCCUACUGAUGUUCUUGGUCCUGGUGAGUUUCUUCUUCUUUGUUCAACUCUUUGGUUUGUUUUUUGUUAUUUUAUUCUAAGGUUGGUUUUGGUUUUUGCGCAGGUGCUUCUGAUCCUUCGAUCACAGGUUGGACAGGUGCCUUGCGCGAGGUUCAUUCUUUGGUCGGAGGUUCGUAGUCUGGCCUCCGCUAAUGGGUUUUUGGUUCUUAUGAUUUUUCCUUACUUGUUUUCGAUUUACAGAUCGUUUCCGUCAGAAGCUUUGCAACAUGGACUUUGACACGCUACUCCGCGUGCAAUAUGAGCACCAUAGCCUUGUACGUUUGUGAUGUGUUAUAUUUUCCUUUGCCGUUUUUUGCUCGGAGGUUGGUUUUGACUUUUAUUUUUUGAGCAGGGUCAUCACAUGGCUGCCGCCUUGGAGGAGCGUUGCUCACGGGAGGUUAUUUGCCGGGACGAGGCUAUUGGUGCUCUGAAGAAGGAGAACGAGACCUUGGAGGUUGAGAAGGCUCGCCUGACGGAGGAGGUUAAGGAGUUUUCUUCCGUCCGGCGGGAAAUUGAGUCCCUGAGAAAGGAAAGAGAUGAUUACAAGGCUGGGUCGGAGGUCUUGAAGAAGGAGAAAGAAGAUGACCAAGCUUCGGCGGCUGUCCUCCGCACGAAUGUCACUGAGGCGGGGAGAGCUAGGGAUUUGGCCCUACAGCGAGCCGAGAAGGCAGAGGACAUUGCUGACCGCCUUCGCAACGAGCUUGAUGCUGAGCGGAUGUCUGCGGCUGAGCUGCAGACGCGCAUGCAGAAGGCGGAAGCGGAGGCUGCAGCUAUUGUUGGGCUCUAUGCCGACUCGCUGGCGCAGUUUGGGGGAAGCACCUCUGCUCCUCCGCCCAACGGCGACGCUGGGGCUGGCCUCGCAUGGCUGAAGUCUCAUAUCCGUAUGCUCCCUGACUUUGUCGGGGGUGCUGUUGAUUUUGGGGCUUUGGCCGCGGUUAGCUCCUUUGCUAAGCUGUUGCGUCGCGGAGGUUGCUCCCACGCGGAGGGAGUUGCCAAGGAGGAGUUCGCGUCUGCGGAGGAUGUUGGCGAGGGCACCUCGAGCCUGCGCAAAUCUGUCCGGAACUUCAUUAGUUCGUUCUGGAUUAGGUUUGGGCGGGCUGAGGCGAAGAAGAUGGCGGAAGCUCGUCGCGCUGAGGUAUUCUUUGUCUUGGUUUUUCUUUUUGUAUUCUGUUUUGCUGCUUUGCAAUGUUUCUUAAGCUUGUUGAUUUGCAGGAGAUUGCCAAGAGGGUGGCUAAGGUUGACAAGCCCGGUCCUUCGCGUCCCCCUAGCGAAGCGCGUCCUUCGACUCAGGCUGAGGCGGAGGUUCGUGACGCAAGUGUUAAGGCUCCAGAGGAAUCUGGUGCCAAGGAUUCGGCGCAGCCCGAGACUUCUGCCCCUCCUCCGCCUCAGGUGUGAGGCUUUUUAGUUUGUAGGUUUUUUCUUAGCUUUUUUGCGUCUGUAUGUGUGACGCUUUUUGUAAGUAAGGCCGAAGGUUCUGAUUAAUUUGUAAAGACUAUUGAAAAAUGUAAUAUAAAGAGUUGUUUUUGGAUAAGCCAUUUUUUACACUUUUAUCCUGCGCAGGUCUCUGGCGGAGGACCUGCGCAGGAUCUUAGCGAAACUCUGCUUUCAAUUUUCUAUAAAGGAAUUUAUGUUUCUGGCGAGUUGUGGGAGUACUGGCGGAUUGCCUUCCCCAAUAUGAGAGUGGUGGAUAUGUUUGAGUUUGUUGGAUACGACCUGGAUGACGAACGAUCUGAAUUCGUCCGGUCGCUUGCGCGCCGAGGUUCAUGGCCUCCGGCUUAGGUUGUUGUUUUUGUCUUGUUUUUCGCUUAUCGUGGACUAUGCGUUUAUUUGUUUGACAUGGUUUGAUGUGUUUAUGCAGUUGCCAUAUCCUAUCCUUCGCAUCUUUGGUGAGAAGGAUAGGGUACGCUGGGUGACGGAGGUUCCCGAGGAUGUUGCUGAGCCUUUUAUUCAUGGUUUUCCGGAGGUUCGAAAGCUUCGUUAUACGUUUUGGUUUUAUCCUUCGUUAGGGUUGGUUUUGAAAUUGCUCUUUUUGCGCAGGUUGUGAGAUCUGCUCCGGAGGUUGUUCUUCCUUCGAACUUUGUAUUGAUGACUUAGUUGAUUUUCUUGUUGAAGAUUACUGCGAUGAGCUUAGGCUUUUUCCGGAUUCGUAUGUAAAAAUUGUGCGAGAGUCUUAGAACCUUCGACUUUUGACGGUCGAAGGAUGUUUUCCGUUUUUUGUUGUAAACUGCUGUUCUGCGCAUUGUUUAUUAAAGAUCAGUCAUUUUUACGAUUGCCUUGGCUACGCUCUUCGCACUCUUAGCUGUGUUUCUAUUACAACCUUCGCGACUUUGUACACAGUGUUUAUACAUUGAAACGUCACGGUGGUGUUGAUCCUAAGGAUCUUUGUCUUGCUGUGGUACCUUCAUACUUGAUGUUUGAUGUUGCGAGGGCGAUGGUGGUCAUUUCUUGUGCGCAGGAUCGCCGCUUAUUGGCCUUAGGACCUUCGCUUUUUCUGGUGCGGAGGAUCAUCUGCUGAAUUGUGCUAUUUUUUCCUUUGCUCAACUCCCGUGGAGUGUUGUCGAGGAGAACCUUCGGGUAUGUGUGUCGAAGGUUCUGAAGGGAUGUUACGAGACUUCGUGCGAUACCCUUCAGAGACCUCUGAGUCUCACUUGUAAUUGUUUUGUUGUGGCUGUACACGACUCUGUGGUCGAUGUUCAUCACAACGCCGUGGUUCUAACAUUACGAAGCUUCGUGCAGUACCAACUUUUGUUGCUGCUGUGAGGCUAACUCCUGCUUCCUUGGUGACCUAGGAUUUUUCUUUUUUGAUUGCUAGGUUUGCACUUGUUGGUUGGGUCUGUGUAUAUUGAUCCUGACUGAGGGAGGAGGGGCGUGGUGUGCUUGGUUUUAUAGGGUUUCGUGCAUUUAUUGCGCGUACCUUGUUAGGUUAGAAGUUAUUUUCGAGUUAUGGAUGGUUGUUGUGAUUGUUGUGGUAGUUGGUUCUAUUUUACAUGACUGGGGAUUUUCGUGGGGUUUGUUUUAUUUUCACAUUUUGUGUGCCAGAGGUUUGCUUGGAGGAGCAGGAUACCUUCGAUCUUUCCUUGGUGAAGGUUAUUUAAUUUUUUUUUUUGAAAGUGGAACCUUCGCUGCCUUUUGGCAGAAGUAGUAUAGUCCCCGAUGCCUGAUUGUCUUCAGGUCUUUGUCAGGUUUGAAGGUUUUGUCCCUUCUGGCCAUGUUGUGAUGCCUGAGGAGGACAGGUCUUUUUCACUUUUUGGCCAAGUUGUCCUUGCUGCCCGGCUCUUGGCUAGGUCUUCUGCUAAGGAUUUGGUGUUUUUUCACCUUUGAGGACGUUCCGAGCUUUCUUAGCUUUUGGAUGAAAGCUGCGGAGGGUCCUUGUGAUCACGUGAUGUUUUGUCGAAUGCUACAGCCUCGUUGCUGGCUGUUUUUUGACUUUUGGGCUUUGGUUCUGGGGUGGAUUCCUCUUUAUAUCUCAGAGAUUUUUACAUAGGUUCUGCCUCGUUAAAAACCUCACCUCCUAGUAGGAGUACCCCUGUGAGGAAAAGAGUGCAGACCUUGGAGUGCGAAAAAGUAGAGAGAAAAAGAAAACAAGCGUAUUUAGGGACGUGGAUGCCGCCGCUUAUUUUGCGGGGGUCAUCCUUACACUCAAAUGUAAAAUCUUCGUAGAUUGUCGACGUUCCACGUGUGGGUGGAGGUUCUACCUUCGAGGUCUUUCAGGUGGAAGGAUCCCGACCUUCCCGCUUGUAUUGCUGUAUAAGGUCCUUCCCACUUGGGUUGCAAUUUACCAGCGUUUGGGUGAUUUCCUUUUUUCCUGAGUACUAGGUCCCCAUUUUGUAUGUCUUUCUGUACUACCUUGCGGUAUCUCCAUUUCUUGGUUUCUUAUUGAUACCUGGUAAUGUUCUCCACUGCCUCAAGUCUUAUUGAUUCUAAGGUUUCCUUGCAGUAGUCUUCAUCUUCAGCCAACUGCUGCUUCAUGGAAUGCAGGCUUUGGUGUUUGAUUUCUUCGGGCAACAUUGCCUCUUCCCCAUACAAGAGCUUGAAUGGAGUGAACCCAGUUGUUCUUGAAACUGUUGUGUUAUGUGACCAUACAACUCUGGGUAGUUCUUCAACCCAUUUCCCCUUGCGUAGGUUGAGUAAGGUCUUGGAGAUUGCGGAGAAUAUUGUUCUGUUUGCUCUCUCUACGGCCCCGUUUGACUCUGGGUGAUAAACAGACGCGAAAGCAAUUUUGGUUCCUAUGUGAUGGCAGAAUUCCUUGAAACUGUCUGAAUCAAACUGCUUCCCGUUGUCAACUGUGAGCAAGCUUGGAACUCCGAAUCUGCAGACUAUGUUCUGCCAGAAAAAUUUCCUGAUUGUUUCAGAGGUUAUGGUUGCCAGUGGCUUAGCUUCGAUCCAUCUUGUGAAGUAUUCGAUGGCCACGACGGCGAAUUUGUUUCCCCCCUGGGCAGUUGGCAUUGGUCCUACCAGGUCCAUUCCCCAUCUCUGCAACGGCGAUGAUGCUGGUAUGAGCUGAGUUAGUGCUGAAGGUCCUGAUUAAAUUGGUGAGAAGGUUUGGCAAGCUUUGCAUGUCUUCACUAUUUCUUCAGCAUCUUUGAUGUGGGUUGGCCAGUAGAAGCCUUGUCUUAAUGCUUUAGCAGAUAAUGCGCGAGGUCCAAUGUGAGAACCGCAUAUUCCAGAGUGUAUCUCUUUCAGGAGUUCUCUGCCUUCGCUUUGUGAUAUGCAUCUCAGCAAAGGUGGGACUACGCCUUUCUUGUACAGGACCCCGUCAAUGGUGGUGUAAUUCCUUGCUCUUGCCUCCAUCCUCUUGGCUAAUGCUUCAUCAUCUGCAGCUGUCUUGCCUUUGAGGCAAUCAGCUAUUGCCUGCCUCCAAUCUUCGCUUUCUGUCAGCAGGACUGAGCGAAAAGCUUUUGGCAACGAUUCGGUUGCGGGUGUUGUAACAAUCUGGUAGAAGGUUCCUUCUGGCAAGGGGGUGUUGUUGGCUGCUGCUUUCGCUAGCUCGUCUGCCUCGUAGUUCUCGGCUCUUGGAAUGUACUGCAGAGUGAAUCCCUUGAACCUUCUCUCCAGGCCUCUUACGACGGCCAGAUAUCUUGCUAGCUCCGGGUUGUGUGCUAGGUAUUCCUUCUCCACUUGUCCUGCCACCACCUGGGAGUCUGUUUUGAUGAGCAGGGUUUUUGCUCCCGAAGCCUUAGCUUUGUUCAGCCCGAGGAUGAGACCUUCAUACUCAGCUAUGUUGUUUGUUGCUUUGAAUUCGAGUCUUGCAGCAGAUUUUAGCUUGAGUCCGGUUGGUGCGAUCAGAACGGCUGCUGCUCCUGCUCCUGACUGCCCCCAGGCGCCAUCUGUGUACAGUGUCCACGGCUGGUCGACUACCUUCUCCUCUUUUUUGUUUGAAGGUGUCCAAUCUGCCAUGAAGUCAGCCAGGGCUUGAGAUUUGAUGGAGGUUCUGGGGACAUAGGUGAUGUCAAACUGUGAUAGUUCGACCGCCCAUUUUCCUAUACGUCCGGAAGCCUCCUUGUUCCUAAGGAUAUCACCCAAUGGCUGUGAAGUGGGUACUUUGAUCUCAUGGCUUUGGAAGUAAUGCUUGAGCUUCCUUGAUGCGCACAAGACCGCGUACGUGAUUUUCUCUAUCUCCGUGUAGUUCAACUUUGCUCCUGACAGAGCUUCGGACACAUAGUAGACGGGUCUUUGCAGUGUUCCCUUGCUGUCGCUUGUCUCGUGUACCAAAACAGCACUGACGGCGUGCUCGGAGGCAGCCACAUACAGCAGUAGUGGGGUGUCCGGCUCGGGCACGGUUACCACCAGGUUGGAUGCGAUAUAGCUCUUGAGUUGCCUGAAGGCCUCUGAUUGUUCUGGGCCCCAUUCUGUUUUGCCUCCUCCUCUCAGCACUUUGAAGAAUGGAAGGCUUCGUUCUGUGGAUCUUGAAAUGAAUCUGUUGAGGGCUGCUAUUCGGCCAGUCAACCUUUGCACUUCUUUCUUUGUUGAAGGUUCUGCCAUUGACAUGAUUGCCUUUAUCUUGUCUGGGUUAGCUCUGAUUCCUUCAGAGCUGAUGAUAUAUCCCAACAUUUUUCCUUUGCUAACCCCGAAUACACAUUUCUCCGGGUUUAGUUUCAGCCCGGCGGAUCUGAGGUUGACAAAGGUUUCCUGCAGGUCCUUGAUAUGAUCUUCUUUGCGCUUGCUCAUGACGACAACGUCGUCAACAUAGGCUAUGAUGUUUCUCUGCAGCUGACUUCCCAGAACCUUCCCCAUCAUUCUGGAGAAGGUUGCUCCAGCGUUUUUGAGACCUUCCAGCAUUCUGGUGUAGCAAUACGUGCCGAACGGGGUUGUGAAGCUUGCCUUCCCCUCGUCUUCCUUUUUGAGCCAAAUUUGGUGGUAUCCGGAGAAACAAUCCAGUAGUGAAAAUCUCUGGCAACCAGCGGCUUUGUCAACGGAGGUAUCUAUCCUUGGCAAGGGGAAGGAGUCUUUGACACAAGCCUUGUUGAGGUCUGUGAAGUCUAUGCACAUUCUCAUUUUACCAUUCUUCUUGGGGACCAGGACCACAUUCGCCAACCACUCCGGGUACAUGACCUCUCUGAUGACCUUUGCAUCCAGAAGUCUUUGUACCUCUGCCUUCGCGGCUAAGGUUCUUUCUUCAGACAUUUUUCUCUGUCUUUGCUUCUUUGGCCUCAUUCUCGGAUCGAUGUCCAGCGAAUGCUCUAUGAUAUCUCUGCUGACUCCCUGCAGGUCAGCGGCACUCCAAGCGAAGAUAUCUUGAUUCUUUUGCAACACGUCCAGCAAAUUCAGUUCCUCCUCUCUACUGAGGGUGGCGGAGAUGGUGAUCUUCCUAUCUGGAACGGCCUCCUACAGAGGGACACAUUUCGUUUCCUCCUGAUCGGCCAGGUCUGUUUUACCCCUUGGCAUGUCUGGUGGCUGGGAAGCUUCCUGUUGCGUAGAGUCCACAGAGUUUAUGUUCCGGAAGGACUUGUAAAUCGCUUUCUCUAUGUUCCUUGCCUCCUUUUGACUUCCGUGAACCGUUAUCACUCCAUGCAGAGCCGGGAUUUUCAUGCACAGGUAUCCCAUGUGAGCGGCCGCAUUGAACUUGUUCAAGAAUCCUCGCCCGAAUAUGGCAUUGUAUGGGUAGUGCAGGUCUACCACAUCGAAGGUGACGUACUUUGUUCUUGCGUUCUUCGAUGUGCCGAAGGAUACGGGCAAGGCGACCUUCCCCAGAGCAUGUAUCUGCUUUCCUCCGAACCCGAUCAAAGGUGACUCCGAAGGUUGGAGUUGGCUUCUGCUGAGCUUCAUUUGGUCGAAGGUUCCAGCAAAUAUUAUGUCUGCGGAACUCCCUGAAUCUACUAAGAUCCUGCUUACUCCCCAACCCGCAACAUUCGUUGUUAUGACCAACGCAUCUGUGUGAGGGUAGCUCUCCAACCUUAGAUCUUCCUCGGUGAAGGUUAUUGGGGUUCUGGACCAAUCGGUGCAUCUUACUGGCCCUUGAACUGCAACGUUGUUGACGAGCCGGAGGUGAUCCUUCUUCUGCUUCUUUGUCUGGAACUCCAUUGAGGACCCUCCAGCUAUUGGUAAGAUCAUUCCAAUCGUGGGCAGGGGUGUAUGAGGGCCGAUCUAAUUAUCGGGGUGGGGUUCGGUUUUUGGUGGGGGUGGAGCUUGGAGUAGCUGCAGCUGGUUUGGGGGAGGAGGUAGUGACUGCUGGCGGGGCUGCGGGGUUUCGAUGUAUGUAAUAUGUGGAGGUCGUGGAGGAACAUAGUUUGGUGGAAGGUUGUGAUCUGCGGGCUGCUGUGCUGGGCGCCAAGCUGGUAGGAAGCUGGGAUAGUAAGCGGAGGCUAGCGCGUUCGACUGAAUUGGAGCUGGGUGCUGCUGGCUUGAUCCUCCGACAUAUGAAUGGUAGAAGGUUUGAGGGAAUGUGUGAUUCACCUCCCGAGGUUGAGCAACUGGUGUCGGAGGUUGCGGAGCUGACCUGCUCUUAAUCCUCUCCUGAGUUUCCUUUGCAUCCGGGCAAUCCCUGGUGGAGUGACCCUUCUCCUCCCCAUGGAAGAAACAAUAUUGCUUCCGUGGCCGCUGAUUUUGAUUUUUUGGCCAUCCUGCGUUUCGGCCCCCUCUUCCGGCUUGAUUGGGUCUGCGUUCCGAGUUUCGCAUUUCCGCCGGUGGACGGUUAUGUUCCGGCCUGUCACUCUUUGGUUGCUCAAUAUUCAUCAUCUGUCCACUAGCCUCUCGCUGUGGUCGGCGUUCAUCUUGGCUAAGGCUCUUCUUCUGCGAAUUUCUGUCAUUGCCCUGCCACUUCUGGGAGUUUUGGUCUUCCAAUCUCUUGCGGUAGUCGUUGUCCGACCUGCAAUACUUUUCGAACUCAUGGUACAGCUCGUGCAUGGAUGCUGGUUUUUCUCUGGCCAAGUGAGCUACGAAAGGUCCUAUGCGAAGACCUUUGAUAGCUGCCUCAAUGGCAACCUCUUCCGGCACGCCGGGUGCCCUGGCCUUGGUCUGCACGAAUCUUUGGAAGUAUUCCCGCAGUGCCUCUCCCUGACUUUGGCGACACUGGAACAGGUCCGUGGAGGUCAGUGAUUCAACCGCGAACCCCUAGAAGUUUGCCAAAAUCUUGUCUCGAAGGUUCUCCCAUGAAUAGAUCGACCCGGGUCUGAGCAUUGAGUACCAUGCCAAGGCAUCUCCUUCGGCCGUGAUCACAAAGGAUUUCGCCAUUACAGUUUCGUUCCCUCCAGCUGAGGCUACAGCUGCCUCGAAACUCAUCAGGAAUUGGCGGGGGUCAGCUUUUCCAUUGAACUUGGGGAGCGUGAUUGGUUUGUAGGUUGCCGGCCAAGGUGAGGUUUGCAAUCCUUCGGAUAAGGGGGAACGAAGGUCCAGUGUGCCCCUCAGCGCGCCACCGUAACUUGUUAGCUGCGCACUUACUGACGGACCGGCGCCGGGUUGGACAGUGGGUUCGACCGUCGGUUGUGGAGGUUGCAUGCUAAGGAUAUCCGCCUGCAGGAUUGAAAGCUGCUGCCUGAUCUCUGCUGCCUGCGCUGCAGCUACUGCUGCCUCUUGGCUGGUGGCGUAGGCGGCAGCGAUUCGGUCUCGCUCCUGCUGAAGGUUCUGCAGCUGCGUCUGUAGUAGCUGGAGCUCUUGCGUGGCCGUGGGUUGUGCCGGGCCUGCGGCGGGAGAAGGUUCCUGGCUGGGAUCCGGCUGCUCGUUCUCCGGCUGCUCGCCCUCAGAGCCUUCCCCCUCUACGGUCGCAUACGUGCUCCGCACGGCCCUUCUCGGCCUUCCCCUCCUGGGGGGCUCUGCCCGAGGUCUUGUGGUGCUAGUUCUCUUUCCAGCCAUCGUAGGUGAUCCUUCGAGGCCCCACGGUGGGCGCCAAUGUUGGGAAAAUGCUCUCCGCACUCCCCAGCAGUAUGGUGGAUCGAGAACCUUCUGACUCGGUGCUGUGAGAGGUUUGAGCACUAACGGACAGUGGGCUCAACAGUAGGUGAAUACAGUGAAUGCUCUCUCUCUUUAUUAAUAACGGCAUCACCCCUUAUAUAGGGCUCAGAAACCGACCUAAUGACAUUUACAAAAAUGCCCCGUGACGGUGGGGGAAUAUCCCAGCAUAUUCUCUAAUUACAAUCUACCGACUCCAAGUCACUCGCGUAAUUUCGCAUUACAAAGACCACGCGUGCCCCCUGUCUAGGGCUUCAGCCGGUCGGAGGCUUGGAUCCUCCGCCCGGUCGCGGAUCCUUCGACACUUCAUGUGUCGGAGGUUCCUUAGCUCGGACACGCCGGGGGUUCCUCGGCUCAGCUGUCCUGGAGGUUCCUUGGCUCGCCCGGUCGCCGAUCCUUCGACGCGUCUCCGUCGGAGGUUCCCUGACUUGGACGCGUCGGAGGUCCCUCGCCUCCGCCGCGUCCUCAACCAUCCUCGGACUUGAGAGGGCCAGAGGUUACUCUCUUCCUUGCUUGUGGGCCUCCGCUGGUGCAGUCCCUGCACGCACUUAGCACGACAAGACAAGUCAUCAAUAUUAGUCUUUUUUCAGGGUCCUCCGCACGCAACUCCACGAAGGUUCCCUGGGUGGAGGAUAUCCUCCGACACUUCAGAGGUCGGAGGUUCCUUGGCUUGAAGGGCAUCCUUAGACGCUGCCAGGGGGAAGGGUGCGGCCAUCCCCCAACACAACCAGCAAUGGAUAAACUGGAUCAAAACCCUGCUGGAAUCUUCAAAAUCAGCAGUCUUGGUCAUUGGCUGUCCAGGGCCUUGGAUUAACUGCAAGCGAGGAGUCCGACAGGGAGAUCCUCUUUCGCCAUACCUGUUCCUCCUUGUCGCAGAAACUUUGCAACGUUUGCUUGUGUCCUGUCCUUUCAUCAGACAUCCUACAGAUGACGACAAACCCUGUGUUGUGCUCCAAUAUGCCGAUGACACGCUAAUUGUGAUGAAAGCUGACCCCCUGGCCGCCUCAAAGCUCAAAGAAAUCUUGCAACAGUUUGCUGCCUUCUCAGGAUUGCACAUCAACUUUGGCAAAAGCUAACUGGUGCCGAUUCAUGUGAACUCUGGAGUUGUACAACUGUGUGUUCAGAGCCUGGGUUGCAAACUUGAAUCCUUCCCCCAGCAGUACCUGGGUCUUCCCCUCUCUGCUAACAAGCUCCCAGUUUCGGCUUUCAUCCCCCACAUCCAGAAGACGGACAAAUACCUCGGUUCAUGGCAAGCCACACUUCUCAAUCCCAUGGGUCGUGCGGUGCUGGUUAAUGCAGUGUUGGAUUCCAUCCUGGUCUACCUGAUGAGCUCCAUCCAGCUACCGCCGUCUGCCAUCCUCCAAAUGGACAAAAAGAGAAGAGCUUUCCUUUGGUGUGGCGACAAGCUAGGAAUUUCAAAGCUAGCGUCUUGUUUGGUUGCUUGGACAAAUGUUUGCCUACCCAAAGAACAAGGCGGCCUGGGGAUCAGAGACCUCGGGACACAAAACAUCUGCCUCCUACUGAAACUGAUACACAGAUUGCACUGCCCAUCGACUUCAGCUUGGGCCGACUGGGUCAGAAACAGAAUAUCCCUGACUUCUAUGACUGGAGACGUCUCCGGGGAUCACUGGACUUGUCUGCGAGCAUUGUUACCUCUUUAUCAGGCAAUCACAACGGUGAAGGUCAGGGACGGCAAAAGUUGCUCCUUCUGGGCGGAUGCUUGGCUUGGCGAUGAAGCUCUAGAAGAUACUUUCCCAGCGCUCUACAGCCACUGCACUCUCAAGCAGGCCUCGGUCCACGAUGUUCUUGAGAUGGGACUUCCUCAGAUCUUAGUGCCAAGACUUUCAUCUCAAGCAACGUCUCAGCUGCAUAGUCUCCAGCUACUGCUCAAUGGCAUAACUCUAACCCAGGGCAUGGACAUCAGGACUCCGGUGAUGAAGAAGAAAGACAACAAUAUUGACACAGGGAGUCUCUACAGGAUGUUAAAGGCACGUGGGCAAGAUGAUCCCAGGGCGCAUUCAUCUAGAAAAACUCUGCCCCCCAGAGUCCAGCUCUUCAUGUGGCUGCUACUUCAAAAGAAAAUCCAGUGCAAAUCGACCCUAUUCAAAAGGCAUGUUGUAGACGACACUACUUGUGAGAUCUGCGGCGCUGCUGAUGAAACACCGGAACACAUCAUUUGGGGGUGCUGCCUGGGAAGGACAGUUUGGCAAAGACUGAACAUCCAACCCGGGGACCCCAUGGACAUGGCGUCGCUGCACACCGCAGCACCCCCAAGCCAUAUGCCUUCGGUUGAAUUCCCGGGGUUCAUUGCUCUCAUCUGUUGGGAGAUAUGGAAAGCCAGAAACGCAAAAGUGUUCAGAGGCGAAUCACUAUCAGCUGAUCAGGUGCUUCUCCUCUGCAAAAACGCUGCUGCCCAAUGGAAGCACAGACUCUCGAGGUCCAAGAAACAGUUAGCUGACACUUGGUGCUCCAUCUUUACGAUGGCUAGACAGGGUCAAGGUUAACUUGCCUUUUCUUUCUUUUACCUCUUCUUAUUGCUCCUAGACUUUCAAGUCUCUGAGCUUUGAGCUUUGCUCCUCUAUGUAAACCAACGAGCCGUUUUGGGCUGUUUAAUAAACUCAGGCCUUGUUUGAAUGUAGUCGUAUUCACAUCAAUCCACAUGUGUUGAAGUGGAUUGGAGUGGAACUUGAACUAAAUUCCACUCCAAUCCACACCAACACACAUGGAUUGAAGUAAAUACGACAACAUCCAAACAAGGCCUCAGGUGGGGAAUCUCCCCCCCGUUGACCCUCAAAAAAAAAACCUAGUGGAGGUGUUUCGAUCCUCCAGUUUUUAAGAAUCUGACUGCUUACAGGGUCACAAGAAACUGAUAAAAACUAAACAGCUCUUGAUUUUUUAAAAUAAUGAGAAACUGGACAAAGACUAGUAUGUUUGUAUAUCCCUCCCGAUUUUCAAAAACCAUAUUCUUAAAAAAAAUGGUGGGAUACAAACAGGGAUUAUCCUUGUUUUGCUAAUAAUCACGAUUCAACUGCUGACCUCUCCAACCCUCUUUCGGACAAGACAAGGUGUUUGCCUAUUUAAUAUGGCCAUACGUUGCAUGUAUGAUUCUACUUGAGAGCUUGUUUGGAUAUAUUUAGAUUCGCAUCAAUCUAUAUAUAGUGAUAAAAUUAUUUUUUCUCUUAUGCAUGCAAGGAAAAAAAGAAACAAAGAAAUGAGAAAUAAGACAUUUUUUCUCUUAUGCUCAGCACCCUGGCUUAGCUCAGGUCCCUCCAUUGCAGGCGCCGAGCUACACACUGCCUCCCCCCCCCCCCAAAUCUUAGCACCUAGCCCAGCCUCAAAUCCUAGCGCAGUGGCACACAAGCUAGUCCAGCCACCCUCAAACGCCUCUAUUGACGCAGAUAUCGGUCAGAUGAUCACACACCAGCUAGGGAUACAUCAACUGGGUCGCCAUAGACCGAAUAACGCAGCACGUAACAAUAUGCUUUCACGGUGAGGAAUAGAGAGGUUUAUGAGCAAAACAUUAAAGGAUAGGCAAUCAUGCUUACAUAAUAAAUAAUGGUUAGCUUUGGGCAAACUCGUGCGCCUUGUCACGUAUCCAGAGGUCCAGAAGAUGCUGCACCAUGAGCUCAGUGGUGAUGGCGACAACCAUCCGAGGAGUGCCCCUAAGAGUUGCUAUACCUGCACGUUGUCAUCCUCGAGAGCCUACGGCUACACAUGCUAGUGCCAUUCAUCUCACACCAUGGCCACGGCUGCGACAGCAGUCCUACUCCCACCGCUUGAUGGCACGCAUGGCAAAGGACAUCGAGAGGGACCCCAAGGCAUGGAUGAACCCUAAGGGGUUUAGGUCAAAGUGGUUUCGUGACGAUGACGAAGGCAAGGACAUGAGCCCUAUUCCACGACCCAAAGAGAUCCGAAUGAUGCCAUUUGGAGCUAGGUGCAGGCAUUGCCCUAGUGAGUGGCGGUGGCAUUGACCACACGUCCACCAUCUCGUUGUUCUUGAAGGUGAUGGUGUUGCUGUUGAGAGCAGGCAUCAUGAUAUCGACGUACUACUUAGUUGUUGGUGUGGAAUCAUGAUAUCGACGUACUACUCUAUCCCAUAAAAAAAAGUCGAGAGACUCGUAAGUUUGACUAGAUUUGUAUAAAAUAUUUAGAAAUACUCGUUUACGGGCGCCUGAUAGUUGGUAUCUCUGUCAAUCAAUGUGCUCGCGCAACAGAUCCAAAAUUGAUUAUCCAAAUUCAUCUUCCUCCUAGCCGCAUCCCAUUCAUCAUCCUUCAUUCCAGCGUCUCCUCUCUCUCUCUCUCUCUCUCUGAGAUUCAUGGUUGUCAACUCUAGUGAGCUCCUCCCCAGUGCUCGCACCCCCAACCCCUUCUUCCCUAACUCUGGCAGGCUUAGAAGAGAUGGGGUUUAGGUGGAGGAAGGCUGACUAGGCGGUGGGGCGGUGGCAUAACGGUUUUUGGGACCGUGGUGGUGGCGAUGGAGGCGACCAUGUCAAGUCAGGAUGGAGGAGUCCAUGGCUAGAGGUUGCCGCAAAAGAAGGAGAGGGAGAGGAAUAUGGGAACCGAUGCAGACGCGCUAGGGUUUUGUCUAAAGGAGAGGAUAGCACGGUAGCAGGGGUGAUGACAAGGAGGAGUAUGGGUUGAGGGAACCAUUGGCCGAAGGCGUGGCGGAAGAAGGGUGCAGGGCAUUGGUGGCAAGGAAGAAGAAAGCGAUCCGCGGCCCUGCGACACUAGUAGGAAGAUACCACCAAGAGCAAGAGGUUGAAGAUGACCACCAGGGCAUUUGUGAAUCAGCUAGCUAGAGCAUCAAAUAUUCAAAUAUAUCAUCUUUGAGUGAAGAUGUUACAACUACACAACAUCAUACAUACAUCUGUAGAACAAGUUCAUAACAGUCUGUCUGUCUCGUGUUGCAAUGCAACGAACGAACCAGCGAGCAGUUCAUCACAUCACUCCGCCGGCCGUCUUGCUGUGUCGCAGGCAGAAGGACUUGAGCCUGUCAAGGCCGUCUUCGAGAGAAGAUGGGUCAAUUGCAAAGGUGAUCCGGAGCCAAUCCUUGCAUCCCACAACACGUCCUGACAAGAAGUUGUUUCCACCAUGUUACAUUACAGUACGUCUCAAACACAAAAGGUGAUCUCGAUCUCAAGGUGGAUGCAAAAAAUGUCUUGUACUACUAAACAGAUUGAUGAACUGAUGUGUAUUAGUUCUACAACUAUAGUUUCAAAAGAAUCAAUCAUGUAUAUAUUCAGGAGAAUAAUAAAGCACCU